This 64102-nucleotide long non-coding RNA is filed under the name Nicotiana benthamiana. Its description in RNAcentral is "long non-coding RNA (NBEN_LNC036801)". Lineage: Eukaryota; Viridiplantae; Streptophyta; Magnoliopsida; Solanales; Solanaceae. The record is from RNAcentral.
CUGCUGGGGGGUAGUAUUUAGAGCAAUGUCCCAUUAUCCAGGGGGGUCCUAACAAUUCCUACGAUUAAAUCACAUUAUCCAGGCGAAUCCUAAUGACUCUUGUUGGGGAAGUAUUUGGGUUUGGCCAUGCCACCCAACUGUUUGUGUUCUAGGCUAAGUCCCAUUUUUCUGGAGGGUCCUAACAACUCUUAACUGAAUCCUACUUCAACAUGCAAGUCAUUUUAUGCCCUUUGCUAUCCAUGAUUACCCCUAACCUUUAAAUGAGUCCCAUUUUUCAGGAGGGUCCUGAGGGUUCCAACUUAAAUCCAAAUUCUAUUUUCUGGUUGUUUCUGCUAGUGAUUAUUGUCCAGGACGGUUUCUGCGACUCUUACUGGGGAGGUGUUGGUGCCUGCCCAUGUUACUCGUGCCUGUAUGAGUUUUCAACUUAGUCCUAUUCAACUUCCACACCCCCUUUUAACCCUCAGUUGUUUCUAUUGGGGUUUUCUAAUUAAAUUUUAUCCCGAUAUACCCUGGCUGGGGAGAAUAUUUAUAGCGGAUUAUGUUUCUUUUGACCUUUAGCUGGGUCCCAUUUUCAUAUGGCCCUAAGGUUUUGAUUAUACCUGCCAUGUGCCUGCCUUCCCCUAUGGAUAGCCCCCCUUAAGAUCUUCUGGAAUUUUUCUUCCCAUGUGUCAAUCAAAGAAAACUUGUCAGUUUGAAAAGUGGUGGUUAGCUUGCGGCAUUUUCGUUGGAAGAGGCUUCCUCACUGUCGUGUUCCGUUGUCCAAAUUUCCAUGUUGAUUAUGAGUUGCCUGAGUUGGUUGGAGGACCCCCGAACCUUUAUGGCUUUACUUUGCUUGCCCAUUACUAUGUUACAUUCCUAACCCUUUUUCCAGAAUUCUUGCACCUUUCCCGAGAUAACCAAGUCAAUGUAUUAUGCUUGGCUGACCCUCUGACCCUUGUGGCUUUACUCUACUCUCCCAUCCUUGUGUUGCACUUUCGACCCUCUUGCUAGAACUCUUACAUCCUUUCCUGAGGUUGCUGAGUCAAAGUAUUACGCUUGGUUAAUCCUUGUGGCCUUUCCUACUUCGUGUUGCACUUUUGACUUUCGCCAGAAUCUUUGCAUUCUUUUUGAGAUUUCCCGGUUAGUGCAUUAUGCUCGACCGUCCUUCGAGCCUUGUGGCUUUACUUUGCUUCCCAUCUUUUUGUUACAUUUCUGACCUUUUGUCAGAACACUUAAAUCUUUCCUAAGAUUGCGAGUCAGUUUACUAUGCUUGGCUAACCUUUGUGGUCUUUCCCAUCUUUGUAUAUGCUCCUUCAGUUGCAACGGUAACUUUGAUUUCACCUUGAAAGACAUUGCCUGUUAAUUGGCUAACCAAUUUCUCUGUCACCCUUAUCGCAAAAAAUUCCCCUUCUCCAUUUAGACCCCAUAUCCUUUAUUCGUUGCAUUGCUUAUGAACUAACAUGUUCCCAUCCUUUGUGUUUCACAUGACCCCCUAAAGCACGUCCAUUGCCCCCCACUUCGUGUUUAUGCUAUUUUUAUUGACUUAAACCGCUGGCCUUGACCUUGAGGUUUGUUGCUCCUUCACUUGUCAUGAUCAUUGAUUUUCAUUUGAAGACCAUGUUUGCCUCUUGACUAACCGCUUCCGUUGGAAACCUUCCAAAAAAUACCUCUUCUCAUUUGAACCCAAUACCUUCCGUCUGUUGCAUUGUUCCUGAACCGACGCCUACCAAACCUUUGUGUUUCACCUGAUCCCACAGUAUAUUUACCAACCAUAUUGUAUAUGAUGUUCUUUCCUGACCCAAAUCACUGGCUCUAACCUUGAGGUCUACUGCUCCAUCAGUAGCCAUGAUAACUUCAAUUUCUUCUUGGAGGAUCUUUCUUGUCACUGGUUUACCGCCCUUCUUGUCACAGAAAACACCUUGAUCCAUUCACCUAGCCCUCUUUUUGCUGAUCACUAGCCAUGAUAACUUCGAUUUCUUCUUGGAACACUUUUGAUCCGUUCACUCUGGCCCUCAUUCUGUUGAAUUGUUCACGAUUUGAUAUAUACCAAAACUUUGUAAUUCAAACGAAUCCAAAACAUGUUGAUUGUCACCAACUCAGUGUGCAUGUUGUUCCUUCCUGACUUAUGUUGCUUUGAUGUGACAAACAGAUCCCAUUUUGUGCAAUUGGAAAGAUGGUGGCAGAUUUUGAAGUCAUUUCUCACUUGUUUUGAGCCAACAAACUCAAGAAGAGGGAAUGAAUGGAACAAAAGGAACAUAGUAAAGGAUAAUGAAAGGAGAUGAUUCCUAAAAAAAAAAGUAAAAGGUAGAAACCUAUAAAAUGCGGGUACCAACUCUAAUGACCAUGACAUGCCCCUGCGACCUAUUUUGUUAAGAAAAUCUGAUGUUCAAAUCUUGUUAUACUUCCGAAACCGUGAAGCUGGGCUUCGAUGCUCCGAUUACCCAAUCUGAUUCUUAAUCCUUAUUCGACCCAUAGCGCCCAAUGGGUUUUCACCACCAAGCCUCUCGAGUUUUGUUCUUUUCUCUCAACUUACAGUCGCCUCAAGGUUCCCGUGAGGGUCUUCACCAAUAAGACUCUCUCAUCUUUUUCAUUUUUCAUCAUUUUUUUAAUUCUCUCAGCUCCUGUCACCUUACGGUGCCCAUGAGGGUUUUCACCAAUAAGACUCUCAUUUUUAUUAUAUUUCAUGCUUUGACCGGAGUGCUGCCCCUGACACGAAUCACCUCUACUUGCUCAACUUGGCAUCUCUUGAAGACUAAUUGGAAGGACUUUCUUUGGACCGUAACGUGGGUUUUGGUAUAGGGUUAAAAAAGAAAGUGUAUCAAAGGCUCAAAACAAUUCUAAUGGGCUUAAAACUACAAUAUUCGGAACCGGAUUUCUCGCAACAACCACCAUUUCUGCCUCAGUUUCUUGCUUGGGGACUUUUGGAUUUUUAUUUUGAUGAGACUGAACCGUGAGGCUGCCUACGUAUCUUUAACAGGAAUCAGUUCAAACGUAGUCCAUAAUUCCUUGUUUUUUCGUUGUUUGUCUGUUUUCCCUUUUUUCUUUCUGUUUUUUGUUCUUUUCUUUUUUUGUUUUGUUUUCUUUCUCUUUUCUUUUUCCUUUCCUCUUUUCUCUUUUCUCUUUUCUUUUCUUGUUUUUCGUUUCUUUUUCUUUUCUUUGUUUUCAUUCUUUUCAUUCUUUCCGUUCUUUUCCUUUCACUGCCUUCUCGCACUUGCAUUUCUGACCUUUGUUACUGAUUCCGAAAGAGGCUUAUGAAAGGAUAUAAAUAAAGCUUAAAAGGAUUAGCAAAGGAUAAAGUGUUUAGAUAGUAGAAUAAAAUGCCUUUGUCAUUGUAAUCUUCAAAAUAUACCAAGACAAGCAAGUACAAUCAGACAAAGGAAUUAUAAAUAAUAUCUCAUGACUGCAUCAGAACUAAUAGCCAUUUCUACAUAUUUUCCUUCCUCAUUUGUCAAAUAUAACGCACCACUAGAUAACACUCCAGCUACAACAAAUGGUCCCUGCCAGUUUGGUAAACUUGCUUUUACGAUUCCUUGAGGUUCUAUCUGCCCGUGGUUUGGGCUUCAAAAGAUCUCAAAGGGUCCAAAUCUAUUCUGCUUCCCCGCAAGUGCCACUAUUGCCUUAUGAGUAAUCUUUUAAGACCGGGCCUGGGGUUAUGCAUGCAUGUCAUAUUAUUAAAGCCAACAGGGAAAAGAAUUGUAAAAAGAAAAGAAAACUAAACCAAAUGACUAGAAAUAACGGAAAGUAGAAAAUUGCAUUAGACAUAUAGUGAAAGAACUUGGACAACAAAACAACUAAAAAGAGUAGGGUUAAAACCCUGGAACGAACCUAGACGACACUAAACAAAACUAGGAAAAAUGAAAGGAUAGAAGGGUUUGAAUCACAAGACAAUAUCCGGAUUACAACUCUGAAAAUAACCUGGACAAUAGAAAUGACAACAAAAUAAACCACCAAAACUCCUCUCUGGCUGACGAAGAAAUGGAGCAUUUUCCCAAUUACCCAUCACGACAUAUUAGCCACUGGGUUUCACAUCAAUAACACUAGGCAUUUCAAUGGCCUUCAUCGCAUUGUUCUUAACAGAUUGCUUUUGGGUUCCUUUAACCGGCUCUUUCUGAAGAUCAACCUUUGAUAGAGAUGAAAGCUUAGCAGCACCCGUGCCUCCGAGGCUCCCAGAAGAACAAUCACAUUCCAACAUGUACAUCUCAUUAUGCACAGGCGAUGGACUUUGGCUAGUGUCUGCUGCAUUCGGAUUUUGCACGACAAUGUCACCUGCAUCAAUAAGCUUUUGAAUUGCUUUCUCUAGACUCCAACACUUCUCUGUGUCAUGCCCUGGGGCAUCUGAGCAAUAUGCACACCUUUGAGAAAUAUCAAACUUCUUUGACAGAGGGGUUGGCAUUACUUGGCAUCUGAGCAAUAUGCGCACCUUUGAGAAUAAUCAAACUUCUUUAACAUAGGGUUUGACAUUUUUAUCUUAAUCGGCUUCAACAUGUCCAAUUGCUUUAAUCUUUGGAACAAACUGGCAUAUGAUACUCCGAUAGGGGUGAAAGCCUUUUCUUUUUUCAGUAACCUCUCAUUCUUACAUGCUUGGCUGGGCUGGAAACCUGAUCCAGGAGGUUUUUGGUAUGCUCGUGGGGGCGGACAGGCAUUCUAUGGAGCUAGUGAUGUACGAUUUUGGGAGUUCUCUGAAGAAAAGCAGUGUUGGGGAGGAUCAUUUGGUACGCAAAGGAUAUCCACGAGGACGAUGUCGAGGUUGGAAAUGCUGAUCAUCUUUUCUAUUUCUCUUUCUUCCGCCGAAGCUUACUUGGAUGUUCUGAAUAUCUUUCGAACCACUCAUGAUUUUGCUUGACUUGAUUCCCACUUUUACUUACUCUCCUAUUUUUAACACAUCAUUGGAAGGUUCUGCCAAGGCCGGGACCAAUGACUAAAGUAGGUGGGCUCAUGGGCUUGUAAAAAGCUCAACCAUUUCUUAUUUACCAAUUGAGGUAUUGACUUGAGUAGCUUGCGCCCUCUAUCUGAGCCCAAACUCACUAAAUCUCUCCUCUUGUUUCUUUUUCAGUUAGAUAGGGAAGAGCGAUCUGGGAUAAUACUUGACUUGUAUUGAAAGUAUCGAACAAAAUCUUCGGCCAUGUCACAUAAUGUAGGCUAUUUAUCGACAUCUUGAUGAGUAUACCAGUCCAAUGCUGCCCCAGUAAGGCUCUUGAUGAAAUAUGCUAUCAACGGGUCAUCUUUGUCUCUAACGCCUCUCAUUUCACUGCAAUAAACCCUCAGGUUGGAUACCGGAUCUCCACACCCGUCGUACAAGUUAGGUAUUGGCACUUUGAACCCUACGGGUGGGCGAACUUCAGGGGAUACAAAUAGUUCUUUGCAAGCCGUAUUACACUGGUCUCUCAUUCCUUGCUUGUUCUUCAAGGACUGUCUUGUACCUUCCAGCCUCUGGGGUAUUCCAUUCUACCCUUCUUUUCCUGUGAACUUUUCAUUCUCAACAUGAGGAUCAUCCUGCAGGCUCUGCUUGUAUGAGUCAGGAACCUUGUGGGCCACCUCUGCGGGAUAGUAUUGGAUAUCAUGAGCUAUGAGUAAAUAUUCAGUGUUGGAGAUUGUUGGAGGAAAGUGAUGGAGCUACUGGGGUGAUUGGGAAAACUUCAGUAAGCAGGUGCAUCUUGAGAGUAUGGAGGAUCAUUCGAAACCAAUAUGAGCUCUGAGUAAAUAUUCAUUGUUUGGGAUAGUUGGAUAGCAAGUGACGGAGCUACUGGGGUGGUUGGUAAAACUGUAGUAAGUGGGUGCAUCUGGAGAGUAUGGAGGAUCGUUUGAAACUACGAUCGAAGUUUGGAGAAGGGUAGCAUAUAAGCAGCUGGGUAGUAGCGGGGUGGUAUUGUCCCGGUCAUCCAAGCAUGAUACAUUUCUGCCAUGAGUUGUCUUAACCUUUUUACCUCUUCAAUUAACCCACUGUUCUGCACAACCAACUACUUUCGGGCCCCGGUAUCGACCAACUCAGUUCUAUCGUUGUUGUCUGCCAUUGCCUUUGACUUUGUGCUGUAGAGGAGAGUUACUACUUUAAAGACCAAAAACCAACCACCCUUCUUCUUGAGUAUAACAAAAUGAAGCUAUCAUGUUAGCUUUAGGGCAUUAAGCAUCUAAAAUAUCACAUUGCGUGCAAUGCACCUAGUCACAGUUACCGGUUCUAACAUGACUUCAAGGGUAUGAAGAUCAUAUGGCAUCAUCCCAUUUUGUUCAUUUCAACCUCUCUCUUUCUUUGCUUUUCUGGCACUUGCUUGAUCAUUUUCAUAUAUCUUUUUCUAUUUAUCACUCUUUCCUUUCCUCUAAUUUUCAUGUCCCAUAAUUACACCAUUUUUUCUUUGUUUUUCUUUCUCUUUUUUUUUUGAUUUUUUAUCUUUAUCUCUUUUUUGUUUCUAUAAAACAAAAUGAUUCGAUUGAACCCUAUGUAGGUUGCCUACGCAUCAUGACCCCGCAUGAAUCAGAUCUUUGCGUAGUUCUGAAAGAUCGAGAAUUAAGCAAAUAAACUAACUCAUUUUUGUUUAUUUUUAUACAACUCAAACCAUGAAAGCUCUAAGAUACAAAAGAACACAUAUUUUAUCCUAUUUUUGAAAAUCAACUUGAAACUAUUUCAAUACCACCAAAAACAUAUGAUACUAAGCAACAAAGAUACAAAUCCAACCUUAUCUCACUCUUGACCCUUUUUAAAGAUAAGCUACUAGCUGACGGCCAAAUCAUUUACAAAAGAUGGUCACACAUGCAAAAAAUGAUAAAUUCUGCAAUUCUGGACAGCCUCAAAUGACAAAGUUGCAGCAUUAAUGCACUUCAAGCAAUUUCCAUAAACAUUUGCAAACCUCAACAAAUCACCUAAAAAGUAGUAAUCCAUAAAAAAACAAAGCUUUGUAUUUUCAUUCUUUACUUCCUGCUUUCUCUUCUUCUUUUCAUCAUUUUUAAUUUGCUUUAAGGAUGAUCCAAAGUAACAAAAACUAAAAACUAAAUACUACUAAAUUAAAAUAGCAAAAAUCAGCCAUACAAAUAUAGUAACUAUAUUAAAAAAAAUUAAUUACUAACAUUACUAAGUAUUCCCUAAAGCCUACAACUAAAAAAAUUAUUAUACUAGAUAAGAUUAUAUUUUGGAAACUCUACUUUCUUUGUACAUGAAAAUAAAGUUAAUACUCUCAAAAAAAGUAACUCUUUUGUAGUUUUUUUUAUUUUGUUAAAUAAACAAACUACAAAAGUGAAAUUAAGACUAAAAUAUCCAGAUUAAACUUAAUAAAUAUAUUUACAUGCUAAAAAGUGAGUGAAAAUCUAAAUAACACGGUUGUAACUUGACUGCUAAUUAAAACUCAGCAACUAUGCAGGAUCAAACUCAACAUGUAAUUAAAAUUUAGAACCAAGCAGAAAAUUAUGCUACAAACAACUCUACAAAUUACAUUUAUUGCCUGUUGGACCAACUGACACCAAACUAAACUAGCAGUAACAAACAAGGUAACUUUAAGCGAUAUUUUUCAGCUUGUAAUUCCCUAUUAAUUGAAUCACCAAAACAUUUGUAAUCAACUGAAUUCAACAGUGCAGAAAAAUCAGCUUGCACUCACUAGACAACUGGUGCAAAAAGUGCAAAUUUUCAAGGUUGUUUCAACAACCUUCAAUAACACAUUUGUAAUCAACUGAAUUCAACAGUGCAGAAAAAUCAGCUUGCACUCACUAGACAACUUGUGCAAAAAGUACAAAUUUUCAAGGUUGUUUCAACAACUUUCAAUAGCAGUCUAAAACACUCUUAUUUGAAUUCAAAGUUCUUCAAACAAGCUCUAAUGUCCACACCGAGUUUCAGGAUUACAAAAUGUUGUAGAAAAAUACAAAUAAUGCUUAGGAAACUUGUAUUACAUCAACAACUUUCAUUUAAAUGCAAAAUUCUACAAUUCAAAUAAGCUGGCAGGUUCGCUAUUCAAUUGCUUCUCAAAACUCAAACUUCAGCAACGCCUUGAGCAUUAAAUUCAGCAGCAAUAGGCUGAUUCGAACAAGCUGGCAGGUUCGCUACUCCGUUGCUUCUCAAACCUCAGAACUUCAGCAACAGCUUGAGCACUAAAUUCAACAGUAGUAGGCACAGAAAUUUUUCAGCUCGAAACGACGACCUCAAUAGUAGAAACAAAGCAUUGGAACCACAGUAAUAUUGAGUAAGAAUAACCACUAAGUACAGCUGAAUAGUGCAGGAUCUGCUUUCAAGAAAAAAACAGCUCAAAACUUGCAUUUCAAUAGUGUAUUAUUGGCAUAUAAACUGAAGCAACGCAAUUGAGUUAACUGAAGCUAAAACUUUUGUAAAAUUCCCUCAAUUGUUAAGAAAAACUAUGGUAACAACAAUCAAUUAAAGAAAUAUGGAAAUCUUCAUUGUUGAGCGAAACAUGAACAAUGUAGGGUUGUGGACAUCAAGUUGAAAUCCUUUAGAGCAACAGAAAACAAGAAGCAAAUUGUUUUCCAGCAAACAUGCAACUUUUGCCAGCAGAUUCUAACCAACUGGACAAUAGUUUAUGUAACAAGAGCACUCAAUUCAACAAGGAGAAUAUUUUAGAAGUAAAAACCAGAUUUCAAACUAUCAAUUCGAAACAUGAGCACAAUCUCAACUGACAUAAAUUUCCAACAGAGUUAGCUUACUGUAUGUUCAAUCAAAUCACAAUUCAAGCAUGCUCAAUCUCUAGUCCCACUGAAUCCCCUCUAUUAAACUCAACAAUAAUAACAACUAUUAGAAGUCAGUAGUAACAAGUUCAAACUAGGAGAAUUUCAGCUAUCAAUUUACUCCAAAAACUUCACAAAAGUGGCAAACUUCAAUAAGACAAGCUUCAGAACAGCAUAGUCAUACCACAAAGAUAAUUGGUAUUUAAUGCAGGAUUUUCUUUCAAACAUUGGCCCACGAAAAAUUCAUAUAUUGAAUUAAAAUCACCAAACAAUACUCCAACAAAAAAAGAUUGAUCUCAACAGAACUUUCGCCAGCAUAAAAGAAGUUUGACAAGAGAAUUACAACUUGAACUCUAAGUAUUUCAAUAGUAGAUUCCAUUGACACAACUCAAUUCACACAAUUUCCAACAAACAACUUCUGAAUUCUAAAACUAACCUAUGUGGCUAAAAGUGGCUAGAAGUACAAAAUUUGGCUAUGAUCCCGCAAAGCCGAGAACCUAAGAUUUACUAGGAAGACCGGACCCAAUGUGGGUUGCCUACAUAUCACACUCUGAAAGACGAGAAUCAGGUUUGCGUAGUUCGGGCAAAUUGGAUGCGGGCAAGAAAUAAAAAAUACACCUAAUUUUUAAAGAAAAUAUUUUCUUUUGUCUCUUUUCAAAAAUGAUGAAAUAUGUAAACUCUUUUUGGAUUUUUUUUUCUUUCUUAUUUUUUUUCGUGGAAAUGAUGAAAAAGAGCAAAAUAUUUUUUGAAUUUUUCAUAUAUAUUUUGUCUCUUUUUUUAAUUGAAAUAUAACAAAAACAUAACUAGACCCUACUUGCUUUAUUUUCACACUUCACCCUCUUUUUCUUUUCAUUUGUUUUUUUUCAUCAUUUUUUUCAUUUACCCUCAGCUAUGAUUGGUCCGCCAAAUGACCCUUUAUCCUAUGAAAAGGCAACAUGUGGCAUAUAAAAUGCAUUGGGAUGGUCUUUUAAUUUGGGUACACCUGUCCUAGACGGACUCAACCCCUGUGUUGAGUCCCCUAAGUCAAAUGCAUGAUGCAGAUAAGUGUUCAUACUAGGGAUUUGGCAUGUGAUUGAGUUAUUCUAGGUUUAAAACCUUGGUAUAGGGUCUAGACUGUACACCCGAACGGACAACUCGAGUUGAGGAUGAGGCUACGUACCGGGAACUAAAAGGUCGUCCGACUUUGUAACUUGUCCGAGCCUUUAACAGAAUAGAGAGUCUCGACCAACGAGCAUAACCCUGGAGGUGAGAAGAGAAGGGUUUCACGGCCAUAUACAGUUAAGAUAAUACCAAAGCAGUAAAAGGCAACAUUUAGCAUAUCCAGCCCAAACAUGUAAUAAAAUCAGAUAAUAAAUACUUUUAUUAUUAUUAUUUUUAAAGAGAAUUGCAACGUCGUUAAAACGUGUCUUGAACCACGUCACAUAAAUGCACCCAUAGUUUUUGACACAUUUCAACUUCAUUAUGAUUUGGAUAUGUGUCACAUAAAUGUGCACCCGAGUUUAGGAAAGGUAAAUUAUUAAGCUAGCGCGCCUAAAGCAAUUAUACGCUCACACUUUGCGAGGGCUAUGGAAUUCACUAAAUGGCACACCUUGAAGUCUAAGGACCAUCAUAAAAUUAAUUAAAGGACCAAUACAAGAUUAAUUAAGUCGAGGACCAUGCAAUUGUCAUUUUACUUGGCAGGCGCACCUCAAUUCCAUCUUUAAAGGGUAUUUAAACUAAAAGCUUGGAGGACCAUAAAUUAUGUCUUAUCUAAUAUAGCUCACCUCCCUUAAAGAUUUGUAGGUUUACUCUUUCGAUCGUAACAAAAAACAAACUAAGCCAGUUCGACAAGUUACUUGUGGGACAUCCAACCAGCCACUUCAUUGAUCGAAAUUUGAAUAAAAAUCGUUAGCUAUUCAGUGGACUUGAAGAAUUAUCUUAUAAUGGAGGUCAAGCUCAAAUUGGAAAAAUGGCCGGUGAUCUUUGACAAAGUCAUAAAAUAAACAAAACUUGAAGACAAUUAUAUAAAAAUGCAUAUAAAAUGCUAAUAAAGCCACUAUCAUUUCCAAGCAGAGACAACCAACGUUCCAUAAGCUAAUCAGCAGCUACACUUAGAGCAUAAAGCUCAAACAUCUCAUUCCGUCAACCUUAUCAAAAUAAUCAAAUGAGACAACGAAAGAAAGUAGUGCAUCAAAUAUUCAAAAUUCUGUCAAAUUGUUCAAUAUUAACCAAAAGGAAUUCAAGCAAUACAAAGGUUGAAAAAGAACAACAAGAGUUGCGAAUUUCCAGCAAUUGAAAUGCCAUUAAGACUCUCGAUUUUCAAGUUAGUGAUUAUAUACCCAAAUUCUCAUUCUAACGCAGAUUUAAAAAAACAUACACAAAUGCUCAAACCCAUAAAACCAACUAUAACUAAUAAUAUAUAAAACUCAAUGAAAAGAAUGGACCUUGGGCCUAAUUCAACCCCAAAAGCUAGCUUAUGAAGUGAGGAUUGCCUAAGCCAUAUAAGGAGACCAAGGACCUCAAAUCCCUCCGAUGUGGGACAACNNNNNNNNNNNNNNNNNNNNNNNNNNNNNNNNNNNNNNNNNNNNNNNNNNNNNNNNNNNNNNNNNNNNNNNNNNNNNNNNNNNNNNNNNNNNNNNNNNNNNNNNNNNNNNNNNNNNNNNNNNNNNNNNNNNNNNNNNNNNNNNNNNNNNNNNNNNNNNNNNNNNNNAGAUACCAUGAAAAGAAUGGACCUUGGGCCUAACUCAACCCCAAAAGCUAGCUUAUGAGGUGAGGAUUGCCCAAGCUUUAUAAGGAGACCAAGGACCUCAAAUCCCUCCGAUGUGGGACAACUCAACACUCAAAGCAGACACGCAUAAAAGGUAAAACAUUAAAGCAACAAUGACAUGGAUAGUGACAUAAAUCGAAAAUACUUGAAUCAUAGAGAAAUGAAUUAGAGUAGUGAAAAAGAGAAAGAGCCACCUUAGUUGCUGAAAAUCUUCAAAAACACGUACAUCGCAAAGGAGUAUCUAAACAUAGUUUUCCUCAACCGAACUACAGACCAUAAACUCGAACUGGAAUCGCAACGGCGAACGACUCAACUUAGCCAGAUUCGGGAUAGUGACCUCGAGCUGGUUUUGCCUUGGUUUUGAGGUGAUAUUUUCAGUGGGAGUUGCAGCGUCUAGCUUCAAGGUGAAGCAAAGAAGACGAAGUUAAGGGGGGUCCGAUUUUUGAGUUGCGGCUGUUUCCAUUUCUGGUCCUAGGAGUCUCUUCGGUGUUUUUCAAAUGGAGAAGAUGACUGAUCUACUUCUCAAGAAGAACCAAAGUCAACUAGGUAUAAACUAGUGUUUGCAAUCACUAAUUUCACAUUAAAACCCUGAUUUAGUCCAAAUAUCAAACACCCAUAAACAAUCAAGCAUUCAAACACAAGACCCAUCAGUUAGCCACACUAGGUUUGAGCCACAACCCUAGCUAAUAGGUAUAGAUGCUCAUGAUUAUAGAAGAAAACAAAUAAGUAAAUGAACAAAAAUCCAUAUUAAUUAAUUACUAGAUAAAACUUGAAGAUUCAAUUAUGAAACUAAGCAAAAAUUACUCAAAAUAUAAAAGAAGUACUGUUCACGAGUGCAGCUAUUCGUCCAAAUACAACCGAUGACCUAAAAAAAUGAAAAGAAACUAUUUAUACUAGGCCAAAAUUUCUAGACAAAAAUGCCCUUGUGAGGCUAGUGUGGAUGCACAGAAUCGAGUGCAGCCGCACUAUGACUCUUGGUUGAAAUAAUUUGCUCUCUGAACUUGGACUUUGUGGACAGCACAAAGCUGAGUGCGGUCGUGGUGGCUUCUGUUGCGGUCCGGACAAAAUGGAUCGUGGACCGCAUUGGAUAUUCCUCCAAUAUUGGCACUCUCUGAACAUGGGCUUUGCGGACCGCACAAAGCGAGUGCGGCCAUAAUAAAGUCAGUACGAUCCGCACAAAAUACUGUGUGUCUGCAUUGCGUGGCUGCCUAAAAUGCAUAGUCUCUGAACCUCCUCUUUGCGGACCACACAGAAUGGUGUGCGGCUGCACUACUCCUAUUUUACUAAGCAGGCCUUGUUCUUGGUACUUGUGCAGGUUUCGCUCCUUUUUUAGCUGGUUUUUACAUAUUGUCACCUUCUUGACCAAACCCUGCAAUUAAGUACAAUAUGUAAGCCUUUGGGACUAUUUUGUGCACAUUUCUAAUCAAAACUUAAGCAAGAAGGAGUGUAAAAGGCAUCAUAAUCCCUAGUUAUCAGUGAUGCAUGUGUAAAAAAAAUGCAAGUCAGAUCCUCUUUCAAGUCAAAAAAGGAAGUUAGUAUCUCAAGGCCACUUGAUAUCCUCCAUAUGGAUCUGUGUGAACCUAUGAGGAUGCCAAGUAUAGGAUGAAAGAGGUACAUAUUCUCGUCAGUAUUGAUAAUUACUCCAGAUUUACAUGGACCGUGUUCCUCAGAACUGAAGAUGAGACUCCAGCCGACAUAGAGGAACCUGGUCCCUCAAUCACAAUAUCUGAAGAAGAAAAUAGAGUUGUAGAUGUUGUACAUGGAACUCCAGCUUCUGAGAAAUUCAAACCAGAUCAAAGAUAAGAAACUCACUUGCCUUGUCAGCCUUUCUCUCUCAAAUAGAGCCUAAGAAUAUUAAGGAAGCAUUGAAAGAUGUUGACUGGAUUACAAGUAUGCAAGAAGAGCUCCGUUAAUUUGAGAGGAAUAGUAUGUGGAACCUGGUUGCACGACUUGUAGACAGAACCGUUAAAGGAGCUAGGCUCCUCGUGCUUGAUGUGAAAUGCUGUCAAAAUUCCUUCUAGAAAAUGGCUUGCAAGAGGGAAAAUUGACAACACUCUUUUUCUGAAAAAUUAGGAAGGAACCUAAUCAUUGUGCAUAUCUAUGUUGAUGGGAUCAUCUUUGGAGCAACAAUUGACUCCUAAUGUGAAGAAUGUUCAUAACUCAUAGGAAGUGAGUUAGAAAUGAGUACGAUGGGGCAACUAAAUUUCUUCUUUGAUUUACAAGUGAAGCAAGAAACUGCUAAGAGAAUCGUAGGAUAUAUCAAAGGGAUGCAGGACCUAGUUCUCACUAUCCCUCAGGAGAUAACCUUGACUUAAUAGGAUAUGCUAAUGUUGAUCAUGUUGAAUAUCUACUAGAAAGAAACAACACAUCUGGAACGGCAUAUUUUCUGGGUUCAUGCUUGAUCUCAUGGGGUACAAAGAAACAAACAGUGUGACUUUUUCUAUUGCCGAGCUGAAUAUAUGGUUGUUGCUUCUUGUUGUGCUUAUUUACUAUGGAUCAAGCAACAACUGGAAGAUUUUGGUAUAUAUACUGAUUGUAUACUACUUCUAUGUGACAACACAAGUGAUCUUAACGUGGCAAAGAAUUUGGUUCAACACAAAAGAACCAAGCACAUUGAUGUCAAACACCAUUUUUCUCUGGGACAAUGAUGAAAAGGUUCUGAUUUGUAUGAAGUUUUGGAAGACGAAGGGUCAGGUAGCAGACAUCUUCACCAAGGCACUGAGAAUGGAACAUUUUGAAAGAAAUCAUCUAGAGUUGGGCCUGAUCAAGCUCAACUAAGGACCUAGUGCCUCGAUGAUUGGCUAUGUUAAGAAGGAAAGGUACAAUGCUAAAAAGUGUUUUUCGGCGACAUCUAACUCAAAUCUAUAUUGUUGCAGAUAUACACAUAUAGCAUUUUUAGGACAAAAAGAAGUAAGAGUGACAUUGCACUUCUAGGAGUCUUUGCUCAAAAUUUAAAAAAAAACCGUCACGGAACCUGGUUUCUGUGACUCAGGUUAGUAGUCUCUUCAAUACUUAUUUUUUUAAGUUGCUGAAGUGUCAUGUCAUUAAUUUGUUUCUCCUGCCUCUCCUCCUAACUUUUGAAGUCCAAAAUGUUAAACCUUUUCUAGACUAACAUGUUGCCCAAAAGAGGGACUUCUCUAUCCUACACCCAAAUGAAACCAAUUCUUUUCUUCAAAACCAAAAUCAAUCUUGUCUCAAAAUAAUCCUUCUUUCCAAAUAUGUCAGAAGUCAAUCCAACUCUCUCAUUUUCCAAAAACCUAACUCCAUCAUAAUCAAAACCCCAAGAAGUCUUUGGUAGAUUUUGAUGGAAAUUUAACUAAAAAGGAACAUGGUAGAUCUAAUAUUCUAAAGUGUGAAGCUGAAGUUGUGGUUGGAUUUGUGGAUGUCUUGAAGGAUGGGGAAAUUGGUAAAUGUAAAGACUGAAUGAGAGACUUGAUCCAUCAAGUCCUUCUCAUGAAGUCAAUCUUAAUGAUGAUCUUUUUCUCUUUGAGUUCUGUGUUUCAACGAACUUUCAAUCCAGUAAAGAGGAUUGAGAAAAGUACGCUAGUUGAUGAUGAAGCGGUAUGACCCGCUGAUAUGGUAACUGUGGAAGAGAGAAUGAAGUUGAAAAAUCUCUAUUUAUGAGAACGAAUUAAAAAAAUGGAGAAAAAAGUUGUCUGGGAAAGAUGCAGCGGAUGAUAAAGGUAAACAGAUUAAGAAGAAGAAGAGGGAGACAUGGAUGCUCAGGGAUAGAAAGGAUAGUGUAGGUGAGGAACCCGGUUCCUUACAGAAGCAAAAGGUUAAGCCAUUAGGUUUGGAGGGAGAAGACGUUGAAGUCUCAAAAAGUGUUGUAAGAUGGAGUGUCGAUUCUGAUAUUGCUGAAAAAAUGGAGGAAAUUGUUGACAUUGUUGAGUUCCAAAAAUAGAAUCACUUCUUUACUCCUCCAAGUCCCGAUGUUUCUAAAGAAGAAGCAAAAAAUUUCUACGUUUUACGUGAUGCUAUAAUGUUAUAUGUGCUUGGGACUGAGUUUGUUCUUGAUGAGAUGAAGCUUGGGGAGAUUCUUGGUGAUCUAAUUUAUGGUUCAACCUACUUAGAUAGGUGAGAACUUGGUCCUUGAGUACCCAUGGAAGAAUAGAAUGCUAAAUUGCAGGGUGAGGAUGAAAGAUUGAGGAAACAGGUGGACGAACUAAGAGAGACGAUGAUCAUUAAUCAAAGGAGAGUAAAUGAACGAGGGUACAAACUUAUCAAGGCCUUAGACCCUUACUUUUCCUCCUGCCCAGUGAUCCAUGACUUUCACUCCUUCUAAAUUCCCUUGAAUUCUUAUCUUCUUUUAAUCCCUAUAUUUGAUGACAUUGGUACUUCAUUUUCUUAAAUUGUCAUAUUAUGUAUGUUGAAACUAUUGUGCUUUUAUCAUAAUUACUCCAUUAUGGUCAAUCACUAUAUUUUGUGCCAUGAAAUUCACUUGUUGUUCUUGUUACAUUUAUGUUGUGUUGCCCAAAUGGACUGAGUUAAUAUUACUGAACUUCUUUUGGUUGUGCUUCUUUUGUUAUUCUUUUCGAUGAUGCCAAAAGGGGGAAGUUAUAUAGGUGUCAACAUGAGGGGAACAAAAUCGAAUUGAUAUGUUGUGUUGUGCAUAGAGGAGGAAUAUAAUCGAAUUGAUAUGGUCUGUUGUGCAUGAAAGAUAGCUCUGUUUCACAGUGGGGACGUUGCUGAUAAUGCAGGGAAAGAUAUGAGGAAUCUGGUUCUCUGGUACUCAAGAGAUAGCUCUACUUCGCAGGGGGAACAUUGCUGAUAAAAUGUUGAUUAUAGGUCUGAUCCACAAGAAAAAAUGUGAGGAAUCUUGUUCUGAAGAGGAAUAUUAAUUAUAGGGUUGUCAUCAUCAAAAAGGGGGAAAUUGAUAAAGUUAUGGAACGUUGAGUUAUGAUGAUUUGCCUAAUAGUCUUGAGGAACCAAUUGUGAUCAGCUCCUUAUGUUCCGUUUUCAUAGGGAAUAUGGCUGAUUCGUAGGGGGACCAUAUGGAGAUCUAGUUCUUAGGGAGAAUAUCAAUUCUAAGUUUGUAGUUAUCAAAAAGGGGGAAAUUGAUAGGUUACAAGUACCCUGGGCCCAAGUACUUUACCUUAUGUGUUGAUAAUCUAACAAACUUAUCAUUCAGAACCAGAUAAGGAACAUGUGACACACUUACAAGACCUUGAGAUCACAAAGUUUCAAGUUGGGAUCCAGCCUUUGAGAAAGGAAGGUGAAUGUUAUUACUUAAUCAAAGGACCUAUAGAGGCUGACCAUAGAAGAGCUGGUUGGAAAUCUAAAGACCUACGAGAUGAAGAGGAAGAUAGACAGUAAAAAGAAUAGAAUCAAAGAAAGAAAAGAACCUGGUACUCAAAGCUGAUUGCAAUAACUCAAGUGAGGAAGAGUAGAAGGAACAGCUUAGGGAACAGGUCCCUACCAGUUCCCGAGGAGACCGUACGAAGUCAACUCUCCUGCAGGAAAGUUGCUGCCUGCACACGUUAUUGUACAGGAACAGCACAAUAGUAAACUUUCUUGGAAGGAUUUUUACCUACCUUAUUUACAUCAUUGUAAAUGAUGCCACACAAACAUAAAUACAAUUGAUGAAGGUAAAAUAACUUACUUCAUGAGAGAACCAGAUAAAGGACCUGAAGCAUACCUAGUAUAAUCAUUGAGUUAAUCCACUCAAGAUAAUCCGAUAGUGUAUCUUUAGAUUCACAGGAACCAGAUUAGGGACAUGAUACCUUGGUGUUCCCCAGGCAGAAGUAUAAGUUAACAGUACAGUUGGAAAGCAACUACACAAAUUGACUGCCUAUAACUAUACACGCAACAGUUCUCCAGAUAAUGUAGCAGUCAUUUCCCAUUGAGAAGAGGCAUGUACUAACCAAGAUUUGACAUCACUAAGGUGAUUUUUUUGUUGUAUAAACCUGGCGCAAGAUACAACACAUUUUUCCUAACACUUGCAAAAUCAGAAACGAAAAUAUGCUCUCAAGUGCAAGAACCACCUCUCUUUAGAACAAAGUUGUUUCAACCUCAAGGACCAGAUCCAAGAUUGAAGAUGUCUUAAGUCCUUAGGUUUGUUGAGUCUUUAUUAUUUGUUCUUCAAUUGUAACUCCUAUCUUGCUUUCUUAUAAGUUGUUUUAGGAAAUACAAAAUCACAAACCCUCCAAGUUUGUGUCUUGGCUAGAGUUAGUCGAGUUGUAAAGUAUUUGUAAUAGAGUUAUUACAAAGUGGCUUGUAAUAGGGUUAUUACAAGUUAGAGUGAUUAAAUACUUUGUCACUAUAGAGUGACAAAGUGGCUUGUGGUGAGAGUAUCACAAGUUAGUCAAAGUCUUUGUAACUAGAGACUCACAAAGUGGCUUGUGGUAAGAGUGACACAACUUAGUUAAAUCCUUUGUAAUAGAGGUAUUACAAAGUGGCUUUUAAUAGAUGUUUACAAGUUGGUGAAGUUGAAAGCCUACAAGAAUAGGUCGUGGUUUUUGUCCUCUUGAGUUGGGAUUUUUUCACAUAAAAAUCCUCUGUGUUGUUUACUUACUGCCGAGCUAUUGUGGUAACAAUUUAAAAACUUGAUUCCCAUACUAAUUGGUUGCACAGGCUAUUGUUAACAAUAGGAACUGCUAGAGAAUCUGGUUUUUUAUACAGUGGAAACUUAUCUUGUGUCUCAUCCACAUACAGGUUCUGCAGUUAGCACUAUACCAAACUGAUAUUAUCCAAAUAUCGCUGUACAGUUUGGUUCCUCGGUAUUUUCGGUAAAAACUCAUAGAAACCUGGUUCAUCUAGUGGAUGCUCAAUUCCUAACACCUCUCCUAACUAUGAACCAUCUCAAUCUAUCGAGUUAUGUCGACAACCUCAUCAAAGGUAGUACCAGAUACUCUCUCUCUCUCUAGUCAUAAGCAAUUGAAGCUGAAAACCGAGGCCAUCUAUAAACCAUGUAAUCCUCUCUCAAUCUGUGGGAAUCAACCAGAUCGCAUGGCGAGCCAACUUAGAGAACCGCAUCUCAUACUGUGAAACAAAUCUGUCGCCCUGACGAAGCUGCUCGAACUGCCUACGCAGCUCCUCUUAGAGAGACUUAGGUACAAACUUCUCCAGAAAGAGAAUGGAGAAAUAUUUCCAAAAAAGGGGCGUUGCUCCAACCGGCCUAUGCCUCUCGUAAUCCUCCCACCAACUAAGUGCAGCACCAGAGAACCAGAAAGUAGUGAAUGAGACCCCACUGGUCUCCAAAAUACCCGCAGUCGAAGUAUCCUCUAACACUUGUCCAGGAAACGCCCUCUUACACUACUAAAAGUCAGAGCUUGAAGUCUACCAAACCUCUCCAAUCUACGAUGCCUAUCCUUUGGCAUAAUAGGAGCUACACUUUCUUAAGCAGCUGCAACUGGCUGGGCUUGAUGUGCCCCCGGUGUCUGAAUUUCUUGCACAACCUGCUCAGAUGUGCGAAUGCCUUCCCCGGCCUGGAAGUAGCCACAGCUGUAGUAAUGAGACCGCAUGAGCCAGGCCAGUAAACACUGAUAGAAUCUAGAUCGGCGCCUCCUGAAGGCCUGGGAUAAUAAUAGGCAAAGUCGGUGCCUGAGCUGGUACUUCUGGAGUGUCUGCAGAUGGGACAUGAUCCUUAACUAGGGCGGCUGGUGGAACUGCAGGUGCUGUCCUAGCUGUUGUGCGGGCUACUCCUCUGCCCAUACCAUGACCUCGACCGUGUCCUCGGCCUCUAGUGACCCCAACUAGUGGUACUGGUGGUCGUCUAUCGUGACCGGUAGCAUGUCUCCUCACCAUUUGUGAGAGAAUAUAACAACAGAAGUUUAGUACUGGAAUCAACAGAUUCGCACAACAGGAAUUCAAGAAUAUGAAAUUCUUCCUAAAAGGUCCUAUAGCCCCCCCCCCCAGGGUAAGUAUAGACGUCUUCAUAUCGAUCCGAAAGACUCUGUUAAACCCACUCAUGACUUAUGAGACCUUUGUAACCUAGGCUCUACUUGUCACGACCAUAAAACAGACCCGAUCGUGAUGGCGCCUAUCGUGAAACUAGGCCAACCGACACAAACCCAAACUAACCAAAAAACCAUAAGAAGUUAUUUAAGUUAUUAAUUAACUAAAAUCCCAUAAUAUAAGUUUAAAUGAGCAGUGCAAAAAUAUAACACAAGUCUGACAUCGGGAUGUUACCAGUCAUGAGCAACUACAAACUCGUCAAGCCCUCGACCUCUCAUAUAUCACAAAUCAGUACAACCCACUACAACGUGUAGCCUGAUCCCAUGAUAUCCUCAUAACACGGGCCAUCAGCCUCACUCAAGCCCCUCGGGCUUACAGUAAAACAGGUACUCGGCUCAAAAUAUCAUUUAUGAAAAUCAAAAGGAGUAGAUAAAAUCGAGUUAUGAAAUCAAUAAAAGCAUAGUAGGACUGAGUGUAAAUCUUAAACCAAAAAAGUGAGGAAACAGUAGUAAAAAUCUCCUAAGGGUCCAAACAGUCGGCACAAGGCCUAAAUACAACAUUCAACCCCAAACAUAGUAAUACUUUCCAAAAUAUAACAAUAUAAAAUAGUUUCCAAUUAAAUAUGCAACUUAAUAGCCAUACGGAAUGGACCAAGCCACAAUUUCCAAUGGUACACGGCCCCAUGCUCGUCAUCAAGCAUGUGUGUGACCUUAAUAUAGCACAACGAUGUGAAGCCUGGGGUUUCGUACUCUUCGGACAACAUUUACAAUUAUUACUUACCUCAAACCGGUCCAAACUCUAGCCCGCAAUGCCUUUUCCUCUCAAAUCGGCCUCAACUCGCCCCGAAUCUAUCCAAAAUCGGAAUCAAAACAUCAAAAUAGUCUAAAGGAACAAAGCUCACGCGAAAAUAAUCAAAUUACAUCGAAACUCCCGAAAUUGGCCAAACCUGACCCCCAGGCCCAUAUCUCAGAUUCCGAUAAAAAUCACAUCGCUAGAAUCCGUAUUCUCUCACGAGUCUAAACAUACCAAGAACACCAAAAUUAGAUCCCAAAUGGCCCCUCAAAUCCCCAAUGAAAACUCUCUAACACCAAGCCCUAAUUCUCCAAUUUUAACCCUUAACUUCCAAUAAUUUCAAGCCUAAUUAGUAAGAAAAUGCCAUAAACUAGAGUUUUGAAUUCACAAAUCCUACCUCCAAGCAUUAUCUCUUGAAUCCCUCUUGAAAUCCCCUAAAAAAGCUUCAAAGUCGCUCAAAAAUGGUGAGAAAAGAGCUAAAAAUCGUGGAGGAAAACUUAUAUAGUUUUUGCCCAGGGAUCUCGCACCUGCGGCUCUAAUUCCGCAUUUGUGGAUAGCUUUUAUAGUCAAAAUAGAUGCAUCUGCGAUUUUUCACUUAAAAGCCAACAUCCACACAUGUGCCCCAGGCUUCGCACCUGUGGGCUCGCAUGUGCGUUAAAUCUUCCGCUCCUCUAGCUGCCUCCACGCACUUGCGGUCCCUAAUCCGUAUGAGCAGAAACAAUAGAAGCAACAAAAUUUCAGCAGCACAACUCCAAGUCCAAACUUUCUGACAACCAUCCAAAACCAUCCCAAGGCCCUCGGGACCUCAAGCAAACAUGCCAACAAGUAGCAUAACACCAUUUAAACUCACACCAACCCUUGGAACACUCAAAACAAUGCAGAAACACCAAAUCACCCUCGGAUUCAAGCCUAAGGAUUCCAAAACUUUCGAAUUCCGCAAUCGAUCAAAAAGUUUAUCAAACCUCCUCCAAAUAAUUUGAAAUUUUGCACCCACGUCUCAUAUGACACAACAGACCCACUCCAAUUUCCAGAAUUCUAUUUCGACCCCGAUAUCAAAAUUUCCACGACCAUCGGAAAAUGCCAACAUUUCUAUUUCGCCAAUUCAAUCCCAAAUCUACCGCGGACCUCCAAAAUAUAUUCUGAUCACGCUCAUAAGUAUCAAAUCACCUAACGAAGCUAUAUGAACCAUCAUAAUUCAUAUGGGAGAUGUUUUUCACAUAAGUUAACAUUCAAUUGACUUUUUCAACUUAAGUUUACUCAAAAGAGACUAAGUGUCUUAUUCCUCUCCAAAACCACUCUGAACCCAUAUCAACCGACUCCAUACCAUAUAAUACAACUGAAUAACACAUAAAGAAGCAGAUAUGGGAGAAACGAAGCGGCAACUCAUGGAACGACCGGUCGAAUCGUUAUAUUGGAUCUUCAUGCCCGUCAUAUCUUUCGAACUUUGGUGUUUUGAAACCAACAGGUAAAUGCACGUGAGGGAACAUGCAGAAAUCAGCAUAGGAAAUGCUAUUGUGUCCAUUCAAGCCCUGCAUAUUAUUUAGGCUUUGCUCAAUGCUUUUCAUUUUUCGUGUUAUCUCUUCUUGUUCAGGAUUUUUCACGGCUUUCUCAUGUUCUAUAGAAGACUUACAUUGUGGGUGUUGAGGAUAGAAAUUUAGGGUAACCCGAGUGGAGUCUAAUUGAAACUGGGGUUUUUGAAAUAAGCUUUGUCGAGGUAGUGUUGAUUGCGCUAUAGUAGAGGCCGGCGGUGUUAUGAACAUUAUAGAUGUUAUUCCUAAAAAUGGUGCCCGGGGGUGAACCUCAGAAGGUGUACCGGUGAAAUUUGCUGACAUGGUAGGGUAGCCAAAUAGGAUGAAUGGGUUGGUUAGUGGGAUAGACAUUGUUAGUUCUUCCCCUCCUGGGAUCAAUAUAGGGAAUCCAGGGAUAGCACUAGAUGGCUCCUUGUCAUUGGACUACGUGUCCCGCAUUUCUAACACAUGGUGUUGUAGCCUUCUAUUUUACUCAGCAGUCGCGGACUCUAGUUGCGGGAUAACCGAUGUCGGGCUAUCUUCAGGCUCAAUGACGGGUAGGUGAUUUUUUAAUGUCAUGGUGAUACUUCCUUUAGAUCUCGUGAAAUAAGGGUAUGAAGCCGGAUUACCACAAAAACCAACCACUUAAAAUAGAACUUGUUCUUAAUAGCAUACAAAACAAACCGGUUAGUUCGAGACAUUUAACACAUAUGGAAUUGCAUUUGGGGAAUGCAAUACACCUAUACAGUUAAACGUUUUUCUAAAUGCUUGCGCAACGGCUGCGUGUUUCAUCCCAGCGUUGACUAACCUUUUUCACCAUGUACUUCUUUUCUUUCAUUUCUACCUCUCUUUAAUUACUCUUAAUUUUUAAUCUUGUUUUUGUUGCUCUUUUAUUUAUGGCACUCUUUUUUUAUUCUAUUUUUGUCACUAUUUUAUUUUUUGUCGCUCUUUUUUUUUCUUUUUUUGUCACUCUUUUCUUUCUUUUUCACUCAAUAUUUGUUCUUUUUUUAGUUUAUGUUUCACUCAAUUAGUUUUAUGGCUAUUAUCGAAGUCGAUGAAGACUGCCUACGUAUAAUGACGCCGCAUGAAUCAGAUCUUAGUUCAGGAAAAUUAGGAACAAGGUAAAUGAGCUAACCCUUUUUUUUAAUUUAUUCAACAUUUUUAAAUAGGCAAAUCAUACCUCAAAAGCUUCUAACAAGCAAAAUAGUUUUGGGUUUUGGAUUUUGAAUACUAUUCGUCAAAGAAAGACUUUAAAAAAAAUUCUUUUGAUUUGAACUUUGGAAAUUUUAAAAGUAAAAAAGAAAAUAUUUUUUUAUUUUCAUUUGUUUUCUCUUUUUCUAAAGAAGAAAAAAUAUUUUUAGAUUUUGGAUGUUGCCUCUUAAUUUUCGAAAGAGGGACUUUUAAGAAAACAUUUUAGAUUCCUGAGUUUCUUUAUUUUUUGUUUUUAAAUUUACAAUAUUAUUUCUAAAGAAGACGAAAAUAAUUUUGGACUUCAAUUUUUCAAAAAUUUUAUGACAUUUACGAAAGAAAGACUUUUAAAGAAGGAAAAGAAUAUAUUUUUUGAUUUUUUUUAAUUUUGGAAAAAAUACUUCAAAAUAAGGGAAACCCGCAUUUUGGGUUUUGAUUUUUGAUUGAUUUUUAUUUUUACUUCUUUUUUUUCAUAUGAAAGACUUCAAAUAGAAGGAAACUAUUUUGUUUUAGUUUAAUUUAUUUUUAAUUUUUUAAGGAAAUGCUUCUCAAGAAGGAACUAAAGAAAAAUAUUUUUGAUUAUCCAGAAGAUGAAAGUAGCAGAAAUAAGGAUGUUGAGAUGGAUGUCUGGGCACACUAGGCUGGAUAAGAUUAGGAAUGAAGAUAUUCGAGAGAGGUUGGGCGUGGCUCUCGUGGACGACAAGAUGUGGGAAGCGCAACUUAGAUGGUUUGGACACGUGCGGAGAAGAAGCAUAGAUGCACCAAUUAGGAGGUGUGAGCGGUUGAUUUUGGCGGGUAUAAGAAGAGGCAGAGGGCGACCAAAGAAGUAUUGGGACGAGGUGAUCAGGUAGGACAUGGCGCAGCUUCAUAUUUUCGAGGAUACGGUUCUUGAUAGGAAUAUGUGGAGGUCGAGCAUUAUGGUGGUGGGCUAGAGGGUAGUCGAGAGUUCUUCUCUCUUUGUACCGGGUAGACUAAAAGAGUUCUGUUUAGAUUUGUUAAUGGUCUAUGUUGUGUUCACAUAGUUGGUUGCACAGUUUUGUGUUAUUGUCCUUUUCCUUAUUCACUGUUGUUAUUUUCUUUCUGACAUCUUUUGUUGUCACAUGCUUUUUUUGUUUCUUUUAUUAUAUUUUUGUCUCUCUUGUUGAGCGGAGAGUUUCCUGGAAAUAGCCUCUCUAUCCUUUUCGGGGUAGGGGUAAGGUCUGCGUAUGCUCCACUCUCACCAGACCCCACUGGUAGAAUUUUACUGGUAUGUUGUUGUUGAUGAUGAUUUUUUAAAAAUUAAGGCCGGAACUGAUGAGGUUUGCCUAUGUAUCUCACAUCCGAUAAGAAUCAGAACCUCGUAGUUCAAUCAUUUUUUACAUUAUUGGAAAAAAUAUGAUAUUGACUCACUUUCAUUUUGACAUGCAUUUUCUCUUUCUAUCUCUUAUUUUUUAAAAACUUUGGUAGAGUUUCAAGAUAUUUUCAAAUACCAGAAUUUUCAGAACCUGGUGAAUUCUCAAUCCUACCCCACUCUUAGUUAAUCUAUUGUUUUUCUUUCCUUUGCCAGUCAACAUACAAGUCGAAGCAAAUAAAUGUACAGAUAGCAUGUAAGAUGUAUCAAGAUGGUCUUUUAUUUCAGGUACACCUGUCCUAGACGGACUCAAUCCCUGUAUUGAGUCACUAAAGUCAAAUGCAUGUGAUAAACAAAAGUUCUACUAAGUAUCUGGCAUGAGGUUAUUUUAUUCUAGGUUUAAACCCGAGAUUUGUGUUCUAGACUUGCCUUACCCAAGCAGACAAUUCAAGCCGAGGUGGAGCGAUGUACCGAGAGCACGAAAGUCUACCCGACCAAGUGGCUGAUCCAUCAUUGUUCUAUUUGAUAUGACCUUUAACAGAAAACCCGCCACGCGAACGUAUGUACCAUUUUUUAGAAGACUCAGAAGGGAGGCGUAAGAAGACAGUUUAAUAUAAUUCAAAUAAUAUUAAAGCGGUAAAUAAGCGGCAAUUAGCACAUUAGACCUACAAAGUACAGUAAUAUCAACAAUAAAUAAAGCCAAGUAAAAAUCACAUUAACAAGCUCGAAUUCUUAAAUCCUGAACUAGAGAUUCUGGGUUCUGAUCCCUAGUAGAGUCGCCAGAGCUGUCACACAUCUUUUUUACCCGAGAGGGAUAUAAAGGAGUUUUUCCAAUUAAAGUGACAUUAAUUAAUUAUUUAAUUUCAGAGUUGACACUGGGGAUAAUUUAUGGUGUCCCAAGUCAACGGUGUAUUUUUAAAUCCCAAAUCGAGGAAAAUUUGACUUCGUUUAAAGUCUGCAAAACCAGAAAGACUAGAUAAGGAAUUCUAUUAACCCGGAAGAAGGUGUUAGGCACUCCUGAGUUCCGUAGUUUUAGCAUGGUCACUUAGUAAUUUUUACUUGGCCUAUUUUGUUUAAUUGCUCAUUUUAGGAUCUAUGCUUAUUUUACUUUUUAACAUUAUUAAUCACUUGAUAAUCCAUAUUUAAGAAAUUAAGAUGAGUUACGCGUACGUAUACUUAAUUCCUAAUACUUAAUUUAUUUAAGAAAAAGAUUUAGUCAAAGUUGCGCGAACACAUAUUUUAAAUUUUAUUUGAAAGAAAAAACGUAAUCAUGAUAUCAAUUUUAAAAUCGCGCCUAAAGUAUUUCUGCAAAUAUUUGAUUAAGGCGUUUGAGAAAAACGUUUAAUUAUGGUUAUGUGAACGUAUACAUUGGCCUCAUAACUAUGUCGCGCAUGCGUAUAUAUAAUUGUAAUAGUUAAUCUAAUUUUAAAGUGAAUCUAAAGUUAUGAUUAUGUCUAAGUAUUCUACAUAAAUAUAUCUAGGUGUAAAGGUUCAAUACUGUAUGAGAUAAUUAGAUGGGUGCAACUCAUGAAUAAAUACCAAAGUUAUUGGGCCUGACAAUUAAACUCAUUUAGCUUAUAAUUUGUUAGAAGAAUCUGAUCCAAAACUUUAUUAAAAUUCUAAUUGGCGGAAUGGCCCAUUUGAAUUACCUUAAUGCAUCCCUGUUCCAAUCCCGUUCAAAGCCACCAACAUCAAAUUUGAUAUUUCUUUAGCAUGAUAAACUCAGGCUAUUAUGACAUAAGUAUACAAAUUGAAGAUUAAGUUAAGUUAAAUAUAAGACAAACUCAAAACUUCAUUCACUUAAGCUUUUAAAUUCACAAAAAACAUAAUAUCAAGCUUGAGGAUAAAUGCGAAGGUGAUAUCUCUUCCUCUCAAGAUUUGGCAAACAAAUAAACACACAUUUCAGGAGAUGUAAACAAGCGAGACAAUUGGAAAAACAUUUAACAAAACCAAUCAAAGUAGAUUACCAACUAAAACAAUAAAAUAAAAAAGAAAAAGAACCUUUGUAUAGAAGGAAACUUCUUCAAUACAAGAGCAUAGCAACUCCUGAAUUAUCGCACUUAAAAGACCACAAAUCGAAACCUGCACCGAAGACCUUGAACCGACACCGAAAGGAACGCGGUCCCCGAGCUCGAAAAUACCUUCCUGAUUCGUUCUUCUUCUUUCAACAUGAAGUCAUUGCUGGAUUUGGGAGUUUUUUGGUUGAGGAAGAAGCUAUGUUUAGCCGGUUUCUAUGGGAUUUCAAGGCUCUUUCAUGGAGUUUUCCGGCAGGCUUCUAUGGUGAAUGAAGAUGAGAGCUUCCACUAGUUUUUAAUGGUAGAAGCUGUUUGUUGGUGGUUUGGGGAGCUACUGGGGUGGCAUUUCCAUGGUAGUUUAAGGUGUAGGAAAAGGUGAAGAAGAAGAAGAACCAGAUUUUUUAUUUCUUGCUCACUCCUUUCUCUCUUUCAUUCACACUCCCCCCUUUUCAUUAUUGUUGGGUGGUGUUGAAAUGUGGAAUUGGGGGGUAGGAGUUUUAGGAAAUUCGAAGGUCUUAGGUCUAGUGCUACUGUCCGCAUUUUUUUUGGGUAGGUUUGCUUGAUCUCCCUAGGUUUUUUUUUUUUUUUUUUGGAAAGUGUCAAGGAAUUAGGGUGUAUUUUAGAGAUGAGGAAAUAUUGAGUCUUGGGUAGUGGGUUAGGCGAGUUGGGUUAAGUUUUGGGCAAUUUUAAAAAAAUUUAGCCAGUCUGAACAAGACCAAAUAAAACCUAUCUUUUCUUUAUUUUUCUUUUUUUUUUUAGUUUUUAAAAAUAUAAUUUCAUUAAUUAAAAUCAUAAACAAGCCAAAUAAAAAUCCUAAAUUAAACUCUAACUUAAAUCUAAUUAGCAAAAUUAAUUCUAUUUAUCUAUUAAUAAAUGCAUGUAAAUUUAAAAAAAAAUUGUUCGAUUUUUAUGUAUUAAUUCUAACAAUUAAAGAGUGAUUAAUUUUUAAAAUGCAGAUUAAACCUGCAAGGUAUUAAAUACAUAGUUAGUGUAAAAUACUAGCGAUUAAAGCGCAAAUUCAAUUGAAGUACAAUAAAUUAGAGUGUAAUAAACGACUAAAAUACGUAAAUAUAACGACCAUCAAUGCUCAGUUGGAAGACAAAAAAUUGGAUUAAAAGAAAAGAAAGAAAAAGCAAAAAUAAUAAUUAUUAUUAUUUAGUUACUUUUACAUUUUUAGAAUAAGUUUAAAAAUAAGAGUAAAUGUGAAUGCUUUAAGAAAAAAAGGCCUUUCCCUCGAAUAUUGGUAAAAAAGAAGUGCCACGUCACAGACUAUAAUAUAAUUUCAUAAUGUAUUUGAACUCCUCCUUAUGUAAAUAAUAUUUCUCACUUCAUUAAUUUCUGUAUAAUGCAUGAAAACUAUAAUCCACAAUUGAAACUAUUUAAGAAUAUAAAAAUAAAAGGAGGGAGACAUGAUAGUAGCCGACAAAAAUUAAUAAUAUUAACACUUAUAUAAAUACAAAAAAAAAAUGUCGCGCAAAUUUUCACAAUUUGAGAAUAGAGUUGUUAUGAAAUAAAAAUAUAAUAACGCAUGUUCACUUGAUUCUCUUUGUUUUUUCUUGCUUCCUACUUCAUACGUUUUUAUCAUUCAAGAGUUUCCCUUGAAGAAGUCAAAAAGAUCAAAUUAACAAUAGUCACUUGCAAUUCCAAAAAUUAAAAAUCCAAAUGAAUAUUGAAUGUUUCAAUUGUGUUUGAAAUUUUUAAAGAACCAUCAUAAUUAUUACGAUAUUCUUUAAUGAUGAUACUUUAUUAGAAAAUACUAAAAGUAAUUUAAUCAAAGAUUAAUACAUGUUUGUUCUUUUAGAGAAGGAACACACACAUAAAUAUGUAAAUUUUUUUCUUUAAAACUUUAAUUUUCUGAAUAUUUCAUAAUGUAAGAGAGUAUUUUUUUUUUGUUUUUGUGAAAAUUAACCUAUAUAAAUUUAAUAUUUUCUUGAGGAAAUUAAUAAAAAGGUAUUAACUAAAUAUUAAUGAAUAAUAUUAGCAAAUUAAAUUGUAGUAUUUAUUAUGAAAAUUUUUAAUAUUAAAGAUUGAUAAUAAUAUCUAUUAUUAUGGCAAUAGUGAAGUAAAGUAAGGUCUUUUUGCAUUCAGUAAAAGAUAUUUAACAGCCAACUGUCGGAAUAAUUUUUUUUCUCAGACAAAGUGUGGAAAAAGUUCAAAUCAAAAUUUAACUUAAGUUUAAUUGUUUUAUACUCUUUUUCUUAAUAAAUACUGAAUUGAAUUGUUUACAAAAUUAUUGAGCAAGUCAAUCGUCCGAGUGAAUGAGUUAGAAAGUCGGACAAAAACUCAGUGAGUUAUGCGAUGGGGUAAAGAAAAUAAUAUCCAGAAAGCCCACACCAUUAAACUCUUUGGCUACUGAAGAAUCUGGACCUGGUUUUUGCCUUUUGGUUUUAGGGCUAUCGGUCUUUUUUGCAUUCAUUUCUCUCCCUUAUCUAUAUUUCAUUCUUUCAUUUCUCUCUUCUAUGGCGGUUCCUUUUCCUUAACAAGGUAAGUUUUUUCACAUACAUAGUAUACAUACCUAUAUAUGUUUAUAAUUUAUUACAUAUCCUAUUUAUAAUAUGUUAUCUUACUCGUAGAUUUGUAUAUAGACGCAAGGGUUUGAACCUUAAUGCUGUAUCAUUUGUGAAAAUGCUUGAGAUUCUGCUGAUGUUUUGUUUGAUUUAAUUGUUGUUAGGUUUUUUCGAUCUGAAGGAAAGAGCCCUAAAUCUGAUUGAUUUUUUGAAUAGGUUCGAUUGUCAAGACCAGCGAUUUUAAAUUUGAAGGAAAUUUACGUUUAUGGUGUAAAUUGGAUCGGGUAUUGAGGUAGGGGUUUCCGUGGAAUGGAGGAUGGUGGUGUGGUUAGAUCAGAAAAGCGAGGGAGGAAAAGGCGAAGAAAGGAUGUGCAAAAUGUGGAGGUUGAUCAAGAUGGGAAGAAAAGGGCUGCUGUUGGAUUGAGACCCAAAGCAUUGGUGGGUAGGUAUGUGAGGAAGGAUUUUGAGGGGAAUGGGUUAUUUUUGGGAAAGAUUAUGUCGUAUGAUUCGGGGUUGUAUAGGGUUGAAUACGACGAUGGAGAUUGUGAAGAUUUGGAUACCGCCGAAGUGAAAGAGGUUUUGGUUGAAGACGAUGAGUUGGUUGGUGAGUGGUUGGAUAGGAAGGAAAAGUUAAAUGAAUUGGUAGCUAGUAGGGAGGUCAAGAUUAUGGCUGAGCCGAUAAGUGCUGUAGCUGAUAAGAUUGAAGAAGUGCCAGCCGCGAGUGAUUUGGGAAAUGAUUGUCCUAUUGAGGUUGAGAAGAUGCAAGUAGAUGUUGAUGCUGAUUCACCGAGCUAUUCGUCUGAUGAUGAUGAGAAGCAAGAAUUAAGUUCGGAGGUGGAAAAGCCUCUUGUUCCUGCACCUGAACUGCCUCCCUCUUCUGGAAAUAUUGGUAUUCCGGAGGAGUAUGUAUCACACCUUUUGUCCGUUUAUAGCUUUUUACGGAUGUUUAGUACCACAUUGUUUCUGAGUCCCUUUGGACUUGAUGAUUUUGUGGGUGCAAUCAACUGUUCUGUUCCAAACUCAUUGUUGGACUCUAUUCAUGUCGCUCUUAUGCGUGUUUUGAAGCGUCAUCUUGAAAAUCUGUCAUCUGAUGGUUCCGAGCUUGCAUCAAAAUGCCUAAGGUGAGUACAUUUGCCUUUGCGGAGGAUAUUUUUCAAAAAACUGUUGGACUGAGUUCUAGUCAGUUGGUUUACUUUAGUGCUGUCUUGGUUCUGAAUCCUUUGGGAGGUAUUCCUGUUAUGCAGUCCUUCCAAAAAAUACACCACUGAACUUGAAAAUUUCUUGAUUAUGGUAUGGUAAAUAAACUAAAACCUAGAUAAUUUGUCAGAAGAAGAAUACAAAUGACUGGAAAAUUAGCAAUUAUAAAAUCUGGUGAGGUGCAUUUUGGAAACUUAACUAUUCCUGCUUGUUCAUAGGAACAUUGAUUGGAGCUUGCUUGAUACAAUGACCUGGCCUGCUUAUCUAGUUCAUUAUCUGACCGGAAUGGGAUUCACAGAUGAAAAUGGUUGGGAAGGUUUUUAUCCCCAUACUUUGGAGAAGGAAUACUACUCACUAUCUGCUGGCAGGAAACUCAUAGUUCUGCAGAUCUUGUGUGACAAUGCCCUAGAUUCUGAAGAGCUAAGAGCAGAAAUUGACAUGCGUGAAGAAUCGGAGGUAGGUAUUGAUUCAGAUGCGGGUACAGUUUUAGCCCCUGUGAUUGGACCACGUAGAGUGCAUCCACGGUACUCUAAAACUUCUGCCUGCAAGGACCGAGAAGCCAUCAAGCUUAGCAAAGAAACUAAUACUAAUUCUUUGGUUUCCGAAGUUAGUGGGCAAGAUGCUUUCCGCGAUGUUGAUCAAGAUGGUAAUGGUGAUGAAUGUCGUCUUUGCGGUAUGGACGGGACUUUACUUUGCUGUGACGGCUGUCCCUCAUCUUACCAUGCUAGGUGCAUUGGUGUUUGCAAGAUGUAUAUAUCAGUUCCAAAGUUAAUGGACAAGAUGCUUUCUGUGACGUUGAUCAAGAUGGUAAUGGUGAUGAAUGUCGUCUCUGCGGUAUGGAUGGGACUUUACUUUGCUGUGACGGCUGUCCCUCAUCUUACCAUGCUAGGUGCAUUGGUGUUUGCAAGAUGUAUAUACCAGAAGGAGCAUGGUAUUGCCCUGAGUGCACAGUCAGUGAGCUUGAGCCUAAAAUUAUGAGGGGAACAACUCUUAGAGGAUCAGAGUUUUUUGGUGUUGAUCCCUAUGGACAAAUCUUUAUGGGUACUUGCAAUCAUCUACUUGUGUAUGUCUCUUAACUUUUAUAUUGAUUGACUCCGUUAAGUUGCAGUAUUUGAUUGUGGGAUAUUCUAUGUGGUGAUUUGUAAUGCCCUUAAUCUUAUGUAGUUCAUGCUGAAAUCUUCCUCUGGUUAUCUUUUCUAAAUGCAUUUUUAAUCUUCUAUUAUAGGUUGAUGGCUUUAGCUGGUAUACAGUCUAAUGUCAGAUACUACUAUAACAAAGACAUUCCCAAGGUCCUGCAAGUACUUAAUGCCAACGUGCAACAUUAUGCCUUAUAUUUGGAAAUAUGCAAAGGAAUUAUGCAGUACUGGGAAAUUCCAGUCAAUGUCAUAUUCCCUAAUGGUGAACUAUUUGAAAUUAGUGGGCAAGGAGAUGGCACAACAGGUGGUCGCGUUAUGCCAUCACUUAAUUCUUUGGUCAAGGAAAGUCUUGGGGAAGAGAAUACUGUAACUUGUGUCACUGAAUUUGGUCCAGGAAGUGGUCUUCUGGGCAACUUCUCAACAGAACCUAUGCGGAAUGAGAAACUAGAUGUAGUUUCCCAACCUGAUGGUCUUUGUCUGGCAAAUAUUGAGUCAAUAGCGAGACAGAAUAACACUCCUUUAGACUCGGUGCCAUCUGAACAAAUUAAAGUGAAGCCCAUUGUAUGCACUGGUUCAGUUGACCAGCAUCUUAUUCCUUCUGAGUGGACUGAACGAGAUGGCCCAAAUUUGGCAAAGACUGCUAUAUGUACUUCAAGGAGCUCCAAUAACUACUUGGAACAAAUUACUGGUAGUUAUGCUGGUGUCACGGUGUCUCAUGAAAGAGGUUGUUUAUACAUGGGUUCAUCUUUUAAACCUCAAGGAUAUAUAAAUAGUUAUCUGCAUGGAGAUUUUGCUGCAUCUGCCGCUGCUAGUCUAGCUGUCCUUUCUUCUGAAGAAAACCAGGGUUCUGAGACUCGUGUUUCAGACAAUAGGCGGAAACAUAUGUCUGCAAAUUUCCUACUCCAAGCUAAAGCUUUCUCAUCUGUAGCAAUGCAUUUUUUCUGGCCAAAUACUGAAAAGAGACUCGUGGAAGUACCAAGGGAAAGAUGUAGUUGGUGUCUUAGUUGUAAGGCUCCUGUGGUUAGUAAGAGAGGAUGCUUGUUGAAUGCUGCAGCAUCAAAUGCCAUUAAGGGGGCUGCGAAGAUGCUUAGUGGUCUACGUCCUGCUAAGGGUGGUGAUGGAAGUCUUCCCGGUAUUGCUACAUAUAUUGUUUUGAUGGAGGAGAGCUUAACUGGUUUGAUAUCUGGCGAUUUCCGGAGUGCAGCUUUCAGAAAGCAAUGGCGUAAACAGGCAGAACAAGCUACUAGUUGCAGUGUGAUAAAAUCUCUUUUGCUUGAAGUAAGUUUUUGCAGAAAUUUGUUUAUGUCAAUGUUGGUUAGCAUAAUGUCCACUUUCAUUUACAUCAUCUCUCUUAAAAUGUUUGUUACGACUUCUUGAUCGACUAGAUUACUUGGUAAUCUUGUAUUUUGUUUAUCAUUUUUUAUCAUUGAAUGGUACUUCGUGCUAGUAGUAUUACGGGCUACUUGGUAGCAUAAUCCAAUUAACUGAAGUGCACUUACAAUCGAAUCUGAAAAUGGAUGUCUUAAGUAAGUACGAACUUAUGUUGGAAAGUCAACACUUGUAAGAAAACCUCAUGUUGGAUAGCCAACACGUGGAUAUAUAUAUAUACACAUAUAUUUCAGAAUGUAUGGAUCUUGUUUCCUCGUGAGAGAAUACUUUUUUUUAUAGGGUAUGCGAGUAUUUUAUUUAUUUGAUAUGCCGGCAAAUGUCGGAGUAAGUACAUCCAAAGAGAGAACUUUACCGAGAAUGUAAAGAGCUAAGAAUAUCUAUCAUGGCAGCCAACUCUAAAACAUUGGUAGUGGCCAUGUUAGAGAAAGUUGAGUGAACAUAUUCAUUUGGGUUUAAGGUUCACGAUAUUGACCCUCUUGUUUGUCCAAGCCUUGGUGGACAGAGUUACACGGUAUCUGUGUUGGUAGAAGCUGCCCCUUGGAAUUAGUCGAGGUGUGUAUAAGCUGGUCCGGACACUACAAUUAUCAAAAUAACGAAAAAAUAUUGACCCUCUUGUCUUUAGAGACUCCACAAUAUCUUUCUCCCAAAUGAUUACCAUAUAAUAGCUGGGAUAGUGUUCCAGAUUUUGAGGGAAGAUUUUGCCAUGCCCCUCUUUCGCCAAGUUAGGAGGAAAAUCCAAGGGAGCUCUAAGUGAAGCUACCUGAUGCCCAAGGUUUUAAAGAAAAAAAGCCAAAUUGGACCUGUAAAAUUACAAUGAAAUUAAACAUGAUUGAUCUCCUCUGCGCCUCUUUACAAAGAGAGCAUCUAGUGCACAAUGGAAUGCGUCUUUUCUAGAGAUUGUUCAGAAUAAGACUCUUAGCUUUGCUGCAUGCCAGGUGAAGCAUUUGACCUUAUAAGGUGCCUUGUUCUUCUAAAUAGAUUUCCAAGGAAACUGAAGAGGCAGAGCCAGUCAAAGAGGAAUACUCAGCUCCUAACAGAGGAAUCGCCUUUGGUAUUAGGAUUCCAGAAAGAGUAAUCAUUUUUGGUAGACAUUGUUUCUGGGGUGGUGCCCCAUUCAGAAGAGACGUUAAGAGCAUGCAUUAGUUAAGUUCCCAGUUGUUGUGGCCUCUGCUGAGCUGUAUAAACUAGCCGAGGUGUUGUCAUAUGUCUGCUAUGGAAGAAUUAAGGCAACUUGAGGGAGAAUACUUAUAGAGGAUUCCACUAGAUGAGACAUGAAAUCACACAAAACUAGGUAUAGGAGGAUCUCCCUUAUUCUCAAGGAUUUCUUUGAUUUUGACUUAUAUACAUUUGAAAUUCAUGGUAAUGACAAAUCUUCAGCCGUAUGCUCCGUUUUGUCCUAAUUCAAUAAAUAUUUUAAAUAGAAAAUAAUAUGAUUAAAUUUGAUUAGAAGAUUUAUUAGAUGCUCGUCUUCAAAUUUAAGUUAUUAUUAAACAGCCCCUUAGACUUAAAGUUUUGACUCCUGAAUGAACGAUUUUCCAUAUUAUAUUUGGUUGUGGUGAGAAGAUCCAAAAGCUGUACUUGUCCAAUAAAAAAGGUGGGGGUUAUGUGAAGGCUAAGCAGGAGGCAUAAGUUAGUUGACUUACUUCUCUUUGGUUCCACAUUUGUCAUUUUGCUUAUGUUGCUUAUUAUAAAUGGAGCAUAUUCCAAUAUCAUUUUCUCCUUGCUACAUGUGAGAGGUUUGAAAAUGCCAACUUGGAGGGGUGCAAAUUCAUCCAUAUUUACUUCGUCUCUUUUUUACGUUGUAAGCACCAUGGGGAAUUACCCUUAUUUCCUAUCUUUUUUCAAUAACCGAGAAAAGAAACCCCCAGGGCCGUUGGCGCACGAUUUGAAACUCAGUGGAUAAUAGGCUCGCCCCUCUAUGCUUCUCUACUUAAAUACCAAACUUUCGUCUGUGGCAAGGUUCGAGCCAACAACGUGCCCCAAACCCACACUCACGUCCAACCUAGUCCUUGUUUAUUGUCUUUACAUUCUAAGUAUCUUACUUCUCCUCUUUUCACCCCAACCAGUCAUUAUCUAGUUAAAGCAAUAAUGUGAAGCAAUUGAAUUAAUUAUGAUAAAUAUUUUAAUGGUGUAGAAGCUUGUACCUUUUUUUUGAAAAGGUAACAGAUUUCAAUAUAUUGAUAAAAUUUGUCCCUAGCACAAAGAUUGUGCUAAGGAGUAACAGGUUACAAGACCCAAAAUAGACAAAAACCAAUCUUGUAACGGCUACAAGGAGCCUAUGAGAUCUACUAGAGAUUCUACAUCUUGUACAAGUGCUUCUUUACACCAGAAAUAAAAUAAAGAUAUAACCUAUGUGAUCUACUAGAGAUUCUAUAUCUUGCACAAGUGCUUCUUUACAUCAAAAAUAAAACAAAAAUGUACAAUUCAUCUUAAUCUUUUAUUCGUGGCUUGCCACAUCUUCAAAACAUCUAGAGUUUCGUUCCUUCCAAAUGGUCCACCAAAUACAUGCUGGGACAAUGUUCCACCACUUCUUUUGGCCUGUGAUUAUCCCGGAGACAUUCCAGCUUACCAUCAUCUCAUCAGUUCUCCUAGCGCUUGGGCCUUUCAUGCUCAUGAACAACUGCCACAAUCUGCUAGUCACCUGGCAAUGAAUGAACAAAUGACUGAUUGUCUCAUUCUCAUUGCUGCACAGAAAACAUCUUGAGCAUAGUUGUAUUCCUCUCUUUAUCAAAUUUUCAUGUGCUAGAAUAGCUUGUUUGACUACUAACCAACAAAAGAUUGUCACCUUUAGGGGAACUUUUGUCUUCCAAAUAUGUUUCCAAUGCCAGAGGCCGUAGCUCUGGUCACAUCUAUUUAAAAUCAUGUAUGUUGAAUUUACUGUAAAGAUGCCAUUGUUGCUUCCGACCCACACCAGCUUGUCUUCUUGUUCAGUAGUUCCCCUGAAGUUCUGUAGAACACUGAAGAAACCAGUCACUCUACUCACUUUCCAGUUUUUGAGAAAUCUUCUAAAAGAUAGGUUCCAACCUUGUACUUGUACCUUUGAUGCCAUGGUUAAUACACGGUCCUUUUAAGAAUAUGAGGAAAGUCUAGUUAAAUCAUGAUACAACUGGAAAACCAAUUGUUUGUAUUUAGCCUUUUAUCUUUUAGGACAAAUGUAAUUGUGGUUAAAUAAUGAGAGGGUUUUGCAUGGAAAAGAGAAUAUUGCCAUCAGGGAGCAGCAGUGAACGACUUUCAAGUAACGUGGUGCAGGAUACCGGAUAUCUGCACUUGUAAUUUCCGUCCUACCAUUGUGUUUGCUUAGUGAAUAUUCUUUUUGCUGCAAGUGGGCCAAGUUCUUUGGUCCUGUGCUUUAAUUAUGCUUGUAGUUCAUUAAUCGUGAGCCUGAAGUAUGGAAUCCAGCAUUUUUUUGAUGAAGUAAUCGACGAAUCGAAUGAUAUUUCUGUUUCAAUUUUUGCCUCUUCUUCUCCCUCUGAAUCAAACUUUUCCUUGCCAUAAUGGUUGAAUUCCUAUUAGUAUCCAUGAUACAAGUCGAACCCUAGAUGUAGAAAUAGAAGAAGGUGGACCCCCUCUCCGUCGAAAGAAAUGAGAUUAUCGCAGAUACACACAUUAAAAAUAUUAACCAAAUUUGCCCGANNNNNNNNNNNNNNNNNNNNNNNNNNNNNNNNNNNNNNNNNNNNNNNNNNNNNNNNNNNNNNNNNNNNNNNNNNNNNNNNNNNNNNNNNNNNNNNNNNNNNNNNNNNNNNNNNNNNNNNNNNNNNNNNNNNNNNNNNNNNNNNNNNNNNNNNNNNNNNNNNNNNNNNNNNNNNNNNNNNNNNNNNNNNNNNNNNNNNNNNNNNNNNNNNNNNNNNNNNNNNNNNNNNNNNNNNNNNNNNNNNNNNNNNNNNNNNNNNNNNNNNNNNNNNNNNNNNNNNNNNNNNNNNNNNNNNNNNNNNNNNNNNNNNNNNNNNNNNNNNNNNNNNNNNNNNNNNNNNNNNNNNNNNNNNNNNNNNNNNNNNNNNNNNNNNNNNNNNNNNNNNNNNNNNNNNNNNNNNNNNNNNNNNNNNNNNNNNNAUCGUCCAAUAAGAAGGGUUUCAAUUUUUUCAAAUGAACAAUUUGAAGACCUAUUGAUUCUAACAACUGAUUGCAGAGUUGAUCAUUCGGACCUUAACAAAGUAUGAAAUCCAGCAUUUUUUUGAUGAAGUAAUAAGAAAGUAUGAAAUCCUGCAUUACUAAUGGCAAAUUCCACUUUGCUUAAGUUGCAGCCUUGAUUUCUUAGUUGCAGAUUUAUUUUGAACUACAACAGGAUAUUCCAAUUUAUUAGAUGCUGUAGAACAUGGAAGGAUUAGGCAAUUCUGGCUUUGAUGUGGGAACUUUGCAUUUAACAGCAUUGAUGAUAUUUCCCUGCUGCAUAUGUGCUAUUAAAAUAAUUCGAAACAUAGAUUCUUUAUAUGCCCCAACAUUUAGCAUCUAAGACUACUUUCUACAUAUGAAAUUAUCUAUAGAUGAUAUGUCCUUUGUUAAUUUGUGCUGCUUUUUGAGUUAAGUGAUUUGGUUUUAUGUUUGUAGCUUGAGGAGAAUAUCCGCUUAGUUGCAUUUUCUGUGGAGUGGACCAAGCUUGUUGAUGGUGGGUCAUCUGAAUCUUCUCUCACCCAUUCAGCUGCUGUUGCUGCUGGAUCAACUCAUAAGCGUAAACCAGGGAGACGUGGUAGGAAACCAAUGGCUGUUGUUGAAGCCGCUGCCGAUCAGUCCCAGGAUAUACUGACUGACUUCACUUGGUCAUUCAGCUGCGGUUGCUGCUGGAUCAACUCAUAAGCGUAAACCAGGGAGACGUGGUAGGAAACCAAUGGCUGUUGUUGAAGCCGCUGCCGAUCAGUCCCAGGAUAUACUGACUGACUUCACUUGGUGGAGAGGUGGCUUGAUUUCAAAGUUUAUAUUCCAGAAAGGGACUCUACCCCGAAGGAUGGUGAAGAAAGCAGCACGUCAAGGUGUCUUUGAUACCCUCAUUUUUUUGUUAUGCAAAACGUCUUCAGUUUUUCAGUUGUCAACAAAGAAAAAGAAUUAUUUUAUUUUGUCUUACUAAAGAUUUGGUGGCGUAUACCCCAUUUUUGUUAUGCAAAACGUCUUCAGUUUUUCAGUUAUCAAAAAAAAAAAGAACUGUUUCAUUUGUUCUUGCUAUAAAUUUGGUGGCGCACAUAUAUUAAUGCCAUGAGAGUUCACUAACAGCUUAUUCUCUUGCAGGUGGUGUUAGAAAGAUACCUGAUAUUUAUUAUGCUGAAGGGUCUGAGACCGCCAAAAGAAAUAGGCAGCUUGUUUGGCGGGCUGCAGUUGAUAUGUGUAAGACGACAUCACAGCUUGCGCUUCAGGUGAUUGAGAUAUAUUGAUAAAGAUUUGAGCUCCUCUUUUGUGGCAACCUUUUGUUGCAAGUGUGGAUUGAGUGUUUCUUCUGAUGUUCAAUCCUAGUGAAUAAAGUUGUUUUCUUUUGUUACAGGUGAGGUACCUAGACAUGCAUGUGAGGUGGAGUGACCUUGUUCGUCCUGAACAGAGUGUCCAAGAUGGAAAAAGUCCAGAAACAGAAGCUUCUGCUUUCAGAAAUGCUUACAUAUGCGACAAAAGAUAUGUUGAAAAUGAGACUAGGUAUGGUGUUGCUUUUGGAAAUCAGAAGCAUCUCCCAUCUCGCGUGAUGAAGAGUAUAGUAGAAGUAGAGCAAACACAGGAUGGAAAGGAGAAAUAUUGGUUUUCUGAGUUGCGGAUUCCGUUGUAUCUAAUAAAAGAGUAUGAAGAGAAAGUGGGAAAAGAUCUGCCUUCAGCCAACAAACCCAGAAGUGCAUUUACAAAGAAAAAGCCCUUGAGGACUCCUUGUAAAGAUAUCUUUACUUAUCUGGUACUGAAGAUAGAUGGCAAUGAUAAGUGUUGUUGUGCUUCAUGUCAAGCGGAUGUGCCAUUUAGGUAUCCAUUUAAUGCAUUUAUCGAAAUUCCUUUUUCUGCUUUUUUCUUAUGAUCAUUUAUUUAUGCUAUCUCAUUUUCUCAGGAAUGCGGUGAAGUGCAAUACAUGCCAAGGUACUAUAAUAACUUCUAUUUCCCUUGUAUCAGUUACUAUCAUGUUGUUAUGUGGGUUCGCGAGUUGGUCUGUAGCUCAUUGAUGUGUUCUUGUUUUGUAGGUCUCUGUCACGAGCUGUGUACAGUUAGUUCAACAGUUGAUGGUAUAGACGAUGUUGAGUACACAAACACUUGCAAAAUGUGUUACCAAAAUAGAGCCCUUACUCGAGUUAAAUGUAGUGAUGAAUCUCCAACAAGUCCUUUACUCCUGCAAGGGCAAUACUUCCCAAAGCAAAUUUCAGCCAAGAAAGGAGUAAAUGUUGGUAAUUCUAGCCGUCUUUCAGCCUCUGGUGCCACAUUGAAGCAUUCUUCUGAUAGGAAGCAUGGUAAUUCUUCGAAUUCCACAACGAAAAAAAAGCACAAGUUGGGUGUCGUUUGGAGAAAGAAGAAUGAGGACACUGGCACUGAGUUUAGAUUAAGAAACAUUUUUCUUAAGGGCAAUCCAGACGGAGAUUUUCCCAGAGUUACUUGCUACCUUUGUCGCAAGCCAUACAAUCCUGAUUUGAUGUACAUCCGCUGUGAAACGUGUACAAGUAAGUUUGUUUCUGGGAGGAAUUAUUUUGACCUCGUAAUCUUGAAUAUAUUUUUCAUUACUUUUUAGUUUUGGAGAAAUAAUUAAUGCACCGUGAGUUUGCAGAUUGGUUUCAUGCUGAUGCUGUUGGGCUUGAGGAGCCAAAGGUUUCUGAAGUUGUGGGGUUCAAAUGUUCUAGAUGCCGUAGGACUAGAAUACCCAUCUGUCCUUAUUUGGAUCCAGAAAGCAAAAAGCAGUUAGAGGAAAAGAGAAUGCGCUCAAGGGCUUCAAAGAUGGAUAAUCCUGGAACGGAGUUUCACUCUGGGAUCAUUCCGGAGCGGCAUAUGGAGGAUGAGAUGUCUACUCAAGUGGUGCCCUCAAAAGAGGAAAACAUAUAUGUAGAAGAAAAGAGAAUGCGGUCAAGGGCUUCAAAGAUGGAUAAUCCUGGAACGGAGUUUCACUCUGGGAUCAUUCCGGAGCAGCAUAUGGAGGAUGAGAUGUCUACUCAAGUGGUGCCCUCAAAAGAGGAAAACAUAUAUGUAGAGGACGAUAAUUCUCUUGUUUCUACUCCAGAAGAAUUCUAUGAGCAAUUCCCAGAAGCUGAUUGUGAAUGGAAUGCCGCAACCAUGUCUGUGCCAGGGCCUAAAAAGUUUCCAGUAAGGAGGCAUGUGAAGAACGAGAAUGAUUUGGAUUCUUCUUUUGCAAGCAAUACUUCCCAUGCUGAUUUUUUUGGAGGAAACAUAAUGAUAUCUGCAGAAGAAAUACCAUCUAAUGCUGAACAGGGAACUAAACUGCCAGUAAGAAGACCUGGAGGAGUGGAGAAGAAUUCAGAUACUGAUUUCGCCAACUACUCCAUGGAAGUUGAAUUAUCAACACCUCAUGGGGUUGACUGGGAUACUUCCAGAAAUGGUUUUGAAGAAGGCAUGAUGUUUGGAUACGAUGAUCUUCCCUACGAGGAUAUGGAGUUUGAACCUCAGACCUAUUUCUCUUUCAACGAAUUGCUUGCAUCUGAUGAUUACGACCCAGUGGAUGGCUCUGCUAAUUUGACAGACAAUGUUGACACAUCAUUGCGGUUUCCAUCUGAUAUGUCUUACUUUGAGCACGAGCCUGAGUUUAGCAUAGAAUCUGCUGCUAUCACUGUUCCUUGUAAGAUGUGUUCCCAUUCUGAACCAUGCGCUGAUCUUUGUUGUCAAAUGUGUGGCAUAUGGAUCCACAGUCAUUGUUCACCUUGGAUUGAGGAGUCGUUUGGGGCAGCCGGUUGGAGAUGUGGCAACUGUAGGGAUUGGAGAUAGUCGACGCUUUUAUCAUUUUGUGAUCUUACUGAUUGGAGUCAGAGGUGCAUCGGCUAGAGGGAAUGUGAUAUAUUUUAACUUCACCGUUCUAAGAGUUGGUUAACUACACAAGAUGCAGUUUUGGAUGCUAGUCUACUUGUUGCUUUGUCACAAAUAGACAAGGAAAUCGAAGUCACUUGUGAUGCCUGUAGGUAAUUAUUCUGCUAAGCAGGCGCGAGAGCACGUUCCGCAUAUUUAAGAUUCAGUAGUAGGGGCUGCUGCAAUUUGCAGCCUGGCAAAUUUCCCUAAUCCAAUUUGGGGGUUUCAUCAUCUGCAGGUCUCUUAUUUCUUUUGAAUGAUUAUAGCUGGAUGAUAGGAAACAAUCGUGCUCAAUAUACGUGUAGAAAUUAUUAGUGGGAGGUUGUGGUAUUUGCUCCAACCUUGGCGGAUAGGCAACUCUUUUUAGUUGGUGCUUAUCUGAUUUUUUUGACUGUAUAAAGAGGCCAUUAGUUAGGAAUUUUUUUCCUCGUAUAGUUUUUUUUGCAUUUUCCCAGUUACAUUUAAUGUUAGAGGAAAGCCUAAUUUUUCGCAUAGCACUACCAUUAAGCUCGGAAGGAAGAAGUAGCCAAUCGAAUUUAAUCACUUAGCUGAAUGAACUAGUAAGACGCUAUAUGAAAAGAUAGAAUGACAAUAGAUUGAGAAACUAUUAUCUACGCAUGAAAUUAUUUAUGUGCUGCCGUCGCUUCAACAGAAUUUUAAAAUGACAACAUAUUUUCACUACCCCAGUAGAACAAUUAAGAAAAGAUCAAUCAAAGCCACAUACUUCUUUUUCCUCAUUAUAAUUCUUGUAGAAUACAUAGGGAGGAACAGACCAAAGCAGCAAUUACAGCGAGUAGUGCUAUUGACACUACAGAAACCAAUGGUGUAAAACCUGACGAAAUGAACAUGAAAUUUGAAGGGGAACUAAAAAAAAAUAGGACCUAUCAUCUAAACCUAUAAACCUCACCAAAGCACAGCAUAUUGUGCAAAGAAUCUCAAAAUUUCAACCCAACCCUUCCGAGAAUCCCAAUCAUGAGCUAUGUAAAUCAGUGCCACCCUCACUUCCGCCAGCCCAUGCAUCGCGUUGUUAGGUGCCAAUCUUGCCUUUGGCAGCGUUUCAGUUUGCAGUAUAAACAAAUUAUACAACUGUAGACUGUGGAUGCAAUUCCCAUCAUAUUUAAAGCCACUUAGAGCAAACCAGCAAGCAACGCUCCAGGAUCUGAUAUAGCUGGUGGUGGACUUGUUGGUUGUUGUUGUGGCUGUAGAGGAGUGGGUGGUGCAGGCGCCCCAAGAGCUGUAGGGAGACUAACCAAUUGUUCCUUAAUGAACUCCUUCAACCUACAUAUAGUUAGAAGAGAAUCCAUAGGUGAUUUAAACGUCUGUAAUGAGCGAUAAGAUUAACAUUAGAAAGCACAUUUAGCUCAUACUCGAAUGUCAGUGUAGGAUCUCCAGAGGCAACUGUCAUACGCAGUUGAGUUCUAUCCGCUGGAUCCGUUUCUAUUCUUACCUGAAUAUCAGAAUUAAAGAAGUUGGAUAAUUUUUCUAGAACAUUUCUCUAAUUUAAACUAAAUGAUAAACCAUAAAGGUAACAUCUUGUUUCUAUUCUUACCUGAAUUUCACAAUUAAAGAAGUUGGAUAACUUUUCUUGAACACUUCUCUAUUUUAAACUAAAUGAUAAACCAUAAAGAUAACAUCUUCUUGUCAAAGGUUUUCCAUAAAAAAAUGACAUUUUCCGGGAAAAAAAACCCACAGUUUCCACCUUCUCUCAUGAAGGAAUGACCACUUCUGUCAACUGUCAAGUAAGUUUUUUGGACAAUCUGCUCUACUCAAUCCAGGUAGAAGGCAAAUUCCUCAAAGAAGCAGAAACUAAUACGGUGAGCUGACUCGUAUACUGCUAUAAACUUGGUCAUAUUAUAUUGUUUCAGUAUAUUAAAAUAUAUCUCCAAGCAGCAGAAAAUGCUCGUGUUCAACUCACAGAGUCAAUAAAAGUUAUGGUAUUUUCUUAGAGCAUUAAGAACUUGUUUGGCCAAGCUUCAGGGAAGCAAAAACUACUUUUUUUGUUAAAAAAGUACUUUUUGAAAAAUUUGAGAUGUUUGACCAAAAAAAAAAGUACUUUCGAGCACCAGCAGAAGCAGUUUUUCUACUUUUGAAGAGAAGCUAAAAAUUUCUAGUUUCUUCCAAGAAACAAAAAAUUAAUUUAUUUAUAUUUAUAUUUUUCAAAUUAUCCCUCAUUUAUUUAACAUUUUUAUAUCCUUUUUCUCUUUUUACCAUACAUUUAUUAUUCUAUCAUAUUUUUAUUCUCUUCGUCCUAAAUAGAUCUCUUCUUUUAUAUAGUGAUCUAUAAGAGUAGAUUUUUAAUUUAUAGUGAGUGAUGUAUUUUGAUAUAUUUAAAUCACGUAGACAAUAAAUAACACUAGAUGCCCCAAAUUAUAAUUUAAAUUAUACAUAGAUAUUAAAUUUAUUUAUCUUUCAAAUAAUACUAAUUGCAAACUGAACCUUUAUGGCCCUUUUUCGUAAUUUGAUACUCAAAGAUACUUUUUGAAAUGAUUGGCCAAACACAAUUUGCUUGCAGAAAGCACUAAAUGAAUUGGCUAAACACAAAAAGCUACUUUGUAAAAGUACUUUUUAGAAAAGCACUUCUGAACAAAAGUACUUUUAAAAAUGACAGCUUAGCCAAACGGGCUCUAAGGCAGCAGUAUCACCAGAUCACUAGCUUACCAAACACAACAUGGCUCGCGUACUCUCAGAAUAGAAAGUUGUGCUAGCAAUCAAAUUAUUUGUAUUUGGAUCCUGCAUAAGAAAUCAAGAAUUGCAACAUAAUGUUAAUUUGAAGGUAAAAAAUCUUGAAGAGAACAAGCCAAAAUAGACGAAAGAUCAGAAACUCACAAGUCCUGGACACACCAGAGAGUUGCAACAUAAUGUUAAUGUGAAGGUAAAAAUUCCUGAAGGGAACAAGCCAAAAUAGACGAAAGAUCAGAAACUCACAAGUCCUGGACACACCAUCAACCGGAGACUGUUGAACAAGUCUGCCAUUUCAAGAAGUGGCAGUGAUCUUACACCUCUAACCUGGUCAAAAUAGAAAAUAAGUUCGAGGACAUAUGUCAGAUUUGAUAUGCGCACGUAAGUUUGAGAUGGAAAUUUAGGUCUUCGUUCGUGAAUUGUGAUGUACUUAGUAAUACACACACAAGAGCAAAUUUCCAUAUGCAAGUAUAUUGCUAAAGUAACAACAAAGAGAAUGGACAUACCACUUCUUGGAGCUUCAAUGGUGGCCCAGACAGUGAUCUCCAUUGUGGGAAAAAUUCUUCUGGUGAUACUGAGAUAGGCUGAAGAAACUUAUUCAAGAGAGCAGGAAGACGAAGUUUAACAUUAACCUGCAAAAUGCACAACAAAGUAAAAAUAAUAAAUACAAGAGCUGACUUAACAAUGACAGAUCAUUAAAUAUCCCGGCUCUAAACCCUCUACCCAGGAAAGAGGCUGUUUUCACUCUAUUCCCAAGGUGACGUGAACCCCAACCUCAUGAUUGAAGUGGUGGGUUCUUACCACUAGGAUAUCACUGACUCAAACCAUAUGAAAAACACAAUUCAUAAAGAAUUAAUACCAGAUGGUUUCCAAACUUAUAUGAGAAGUCAAGAACAGCAACAUCCCUACUUGGAUGAAGGUUAACAACUUCAAGCGGACAUUGAACCUGGAGAAAUUCAUUUAGUUGGAGAUUAGAAGAUGUGACUAUCAAAUAACAAAAACUCAACUCAUGAAACAAGUAAAUAACUAUCUGACCUGUGCACGUGGUGGAAUAGUCUCAGGUACUAACGAUAGUUCCACCCUCAAAUGAGAUGGAGGCAAUAUUUGAGCCUGUACUGAAGCCAGUGGAGAGGUAUUUUUAUUUCCUAAGAAGAGGACAAGUCGUCCAUGAUGUGCCCGCCAAUCUGCUUUUAUACCAAUCUGGAAUUAUGCCAACCAAAAACACUUAGUCCAUACAAGUCCAUCACUUGAAAGUUAAAACAAUAAACUCUGGAUCGAUCAUCUACCUGAAUAUAUGGAUCCUCAUAUAAUACACCGCACUAAGUCCAUAGAAGUUCAUCACUUGACAGACAAAACAAUAAACUCUGGAUCGAUCAUCUACCUGAAUAUAAGGAUCCUCAUAUAAUACACCACUAUCUUUAAGGCACAAGGCAUGAAACCUUUCUGCAAUGUUUCCAAUUGGCUACAACCAGGAAAGAUUAAAACAGUCUGUCAGAAUUUCCAAUUUCCGAACAGGUGACUGCACCCUAAUAAAAAUCUUAGUGCGGCAGAAAUCUCCUUUGGAAAAGGCGAUAAUUAUUAGUUGAUUUAGCAGAGAAUGAAAUGAAUGUGCUUCUACUGGCAAAUGGUAAUGAACAUGUUUUUGCGGUCAUCCAAGCAAGUGCCUUAACUAGCCACACUUUUAUGGCUUAUCCCAGCAGCUUUCAGCAAAAUUAAUAACAGAAAGCUUUUACAACUUUCAAAGAAUAGGAAAAUAUGAUGAACUGAGAGACCGGAAUCUGAUAAAGCAAUCACGGGAACCAGAAACUGAAAAGAAAUGGCAGCAUCUUCCUAUCACUAAAUUAGGAGUCAUAACAAGAAAGCUAGUGGGUAAGGCAUAUAUUAACAAACGUAAAAGAAAGAAGUACCUGGAUGGUGUUCAUCUGUUCUUCAACAGGUGCAGCAUACAUUAACAAACGUAAAAGAAAGAAGUACCUGGAUGGUGUUCAUCUGUUCUUCAACAGGUGCAAGUGCUAGUGCAUCCUCUGAAGUUGGAGCACCUUUAACACCAGCACCCAAAUUAUGGUCAGAUUGGUUAGCAUCAUGCUGAGGGCCCUCAAUAGCCAGAGGACUUAAAAGAUCACCCAGGAGAUCAGGCGAAGGGGUUGAAGGGGGUUGAGGAUCCACAACAGUCAAAGUUCCAUUUGACUGAGUCUCCCCUUGAUCUGCUAAAUCACGAUCCUGUCCAUAAAGUAAAUUGUUGGUUACCAUCUAAUACUAAAAACACAGACAAUUAUAUCCUCGAUUUUUGCAUAAAUGGGCAGAGAGACACAUUACCACAUUGCUCCUGCUUGGAACUUUUACUAAACCUAGCUGGCUGACUGGUGAAGUUCCAUUAGCAGGGCGUUGGUCUGUCAUUACUAGAGCAUUAGAAGUUUGCUGUUGUGCACGCAACUUGAUUGCACUUUGGUCAGCGGUAUCAGCCUCAGUAUCCUCAGCUUUUCUUAUCAGUGAAGACUACAUCGUAAAGAGAAUAUUGUCGCUUAAAACCAAUAAUAACAAUAACAAUAAUAAAAGGACAACGUCAUACUGCAAAAAUUGAAAGAUUACAUUGUAUGAUGCAAAAGGAGGACACCCGUCGAACUAAUACAUCAAUUAUGCAGAAUACUGCAGAAAAUAAAUAAUCAAAGACGAGAAUUCCUGCAUGCAUACCUGUCGCUCAGGGAACUUUGGCAUUUCGGCUAAGAUAUCCAUUAAAGCUGCACCUUUCUUACUCAACUCAAAGUAUUCCACAGCCCGUUGCUGUAUUUCAACUUCGAUGCAGCUUUCAUAUCUGGGAUAUUACGCAGCUCUAUAAAUUAUCACAAUAACUUAGGAAAUAUACGCAGAAGAAAAAAUGACCUUACAGGAUAAACAGAAAUUACAACACCAUAAAUUAAUAGUAUCUUACUUCCUGAAUGCAAUACCUUAGAAAAUAUACGCAGAAGAAAAUAAACGGAAAUUACAACACCACAAAUUAAUACUAUCUUACUUCCUGAAUAUUGCCCAAAUCUGAUUCUGCAGCUCUUGAUCUGGUGGUUGUGUGUGCAUCAAUAUCUUUGCAUAAGUUGACAGAAGAAUGGGAAUUGUUGAAGUCCUGAAUAACAUAGUUUGUGUAAAAUAUCAGAUAGGAUAAUAAAAAACAAUGUCAAAAUGAGAUCAAACACUGAAUGUACUUACGUAACAGUAGGAAGCUUCUCAUGAAUGAUGUUAAAGAUUUCUUUUGGACUACAUCCAGGCCUUCUAGUCAGAAGAUGGCUGUAUUCUCCAAGGAUAUAUGCACUGACCUACUCCAUCACAUAACAUCCAAAAUACAUUUUCAAUUAGCUUCCCAAUAUAUUUUCUUUUUCAAACUGACCAGAAAAGGACAGCAGAUGCAUCGGAAUUCAAAAUAUAAAUCACGAAGACGAUUAUUUUGCUCUUAGGUGCUUAUCUCUGGCUGUGAGGCAACUAACAUUAAACUUGAAGAGCAAAUGAAACAACAAUAAAGUUCUAACAAUAGGGUGAUGAAAAUCUAGCUUGAACAUAAAUUAGUGCUACCCAGGUUAGGUCAACACAAUGGAAGCCUAAACUAUAUAAAUGAGCUAUAUAUGGGUUUCGAAUGCCUUGGAUUAACAGCAGGCAUCCAUGUAAAAGGCAUCAAUCCAGGUCUCAAAUUGUUGACGAUACAUGCCUUAAAUUUUGAUCCUUGACUCGAGCCUGUUCUUGGUAUAAGGGCAUGAUUAAAUCAAGGUGCAAGCUAUUUCUAUCUCAGGAACAGCUGAACCCAACAUCUCUUCCAAAUUUGUCUCAGAAGGUAACUCCAUUCACUCUUCCACUUGGCAGUACAUAUCCAAGACUUGGUUUUCCUUUCUCAUGCACAAGGCUUCCAAUAAAUUCCCCACCUCCAAGGACAUUCCUCUAGUUUAAUUUAUAUGCAAAAAUAACAAAUAAAGGUAUGCUGCAUAGAGACUUGGAGCUCAAAGUUCAUGUACCUAUUAUAUGUCAAAAUGACUUAGAGGUUGGACUACCCAUUCAUAUUACCAGCUACAAAUGAGUCUAGCAUGAUAAUUAAGCAGAGAUAAUCCAUUAGGGUUCAUAACAUUUGCAUAAAUAAAUAAUAUAUAUAUAUAUAUAUAUAUAUAUAUAUAUCACAUACUAUAUUAUAAGUGAGAAGACCAAAAGUGAAAGUUGAAUUACUAUAUUACCCAGUUAAAACUAAGUGACAGUUUUACCCUUCUCUUGAACAAUAUUUUCAUAAUAAUUUUAUAUCAAAAAGUAAUUUCACGAUACAAUAAAUGAUAAAUUUGUUUUACCCUACCAAAGUACUUACGUAAUGUUAAUACGCGAAAAGCAACCAGCAAUAAAUUAAGAAUUUGAGGAGUUACAAUUAAUCAUAUAAUAUGAACCAAAUUCUCUUAAAUGCAAAUUGUAUCUCAUGGUCUUUCUUUGUACAAAAACGUACUCUACAUAUAUGUCUCUUCAAUUGCUAUUUGUAAUCUUUUAAGUUUAACUGAUAUAAAUUUCAAUAUCAUCUUGAUUAACUAAAUCGGAGAGCAAAUGACAUGAAAGGACAGUAAUCCCAUUACUUAUGUUGAUAUAAUAAUUAAAACAUUCAUGAAUUAACAUCUUUUACAUUCCCUAUGUUGCAUGCUCAAUUUAUCUCUCUCAUUUCACUUAUUGUCUUUUUUAUAAGACUAUUUAUUAUUUCAUUAGAAAAGCCAUGUUGUAAGAUCAUGUCUUCAGGAUUCGUGGCAAUAGCAGAGACGAAAAGAUUAAUAUUCGACCACGUCCAAUAGAAUUUUUAAUUCCUCUACUUUCAAGAACGAGUAAUAUCAAGGUUAUAUGAUGCCAUGCUUUUAGUGCAAACCUAAUCUGCUGGGAAAAUGAAAGUGAGUUUUCUAUUUUCUGACCAAAUAUGCUAUUCACAUAAUUCAAAAUUAGUUGUUUUUAUUAAUAUACAUUAAAUUAUUCUUGUCCCUUCGGAUAUAUUAUUGUUAACCUUUUUUUUAGUAUAAUAUUAUCUAUUUCCAACAAAUACAGUACAAAUAUAGGUAUUAUAUAAGGAAGGGGCGAUAAAUUCAUUUAACUCUUUUCAUUUCCGGCAAGAAUGAAAUUUUAAGUUUUGGUUGAGCUCCUUAAUUCUUUUCUGGACUACUUUAUGAGGAUAUAUUGAGUCCAAUUGUUGUUUUUGGGUGAUUUUUGUUUAGAUAGCAAAGAACGAUUGUUCUUCUCAUGCAUGUUCUUUUCAAUUUUCUUCAUUUUUGUUUCUUGCUUCUUACUUAUCGUGUAAAUCAUGUUAGGUUAAGAGUUUGCUCUAGCACAUGAAUUUAGUUGGUACAGUUUUGUUUUCAUCAAGUCUGUGGUUAUGUGAUUUUUGUUUCCGGAGAAAAACUGGUUAGCGUGAUGCUUUUGUAGACAACUGAACAAACAUUUCGGGGCUAGCUCUACUGCAAUGUGCAUCUAUACAAAUGAGGUGUGCAUCUUUGUAACUUGAAUUUUUAUUCUUUGGCUCGACUAUUUUAAUUCUUUUUUCUGGAUUUCUUAUUUGAUUGUGUAGUUAGUAUAGUAAAAAGAUCUUGUCAUAUACAUCUAUCUUAUGGUUAAUUUCAGUUUCCACGCUAUUUUUUAAAUUCAAAUCUCUUGUCAUUAUAGCCCUCUCAUGUAUGGUCUUUCUGGUUGAAGUUUGUGGAACAUACACGUGGCGAGUUUCAAUAAGUUGGGUACAAGGUAGAAUUUCUUGCAAUAUUGUACUUUUAGAAGUGUAUUUUUGGUUCGUCGAUGAAUAAUUUAUAUAAUUUAUAUGUUUUGCUUUAGUUUUCUUGGUUCCGAGAUAAAAACAUAAUCGUAUGACCAACUUUUUUCCUCAACUACAACUGUAACUAAGACGAUCAUUAAAAGGGCCGGAGAAUAAUAAAUGAGCAAUUUAAUAUUGUAGCUACGCAAUAACGAAAAAACCCAAUCAAAAUAAUGUAAUUGAAUGUACACGAAGAAUAUUGUACGUGAGGAAAUAUUAGGCAAGUUAAGACCAAGUGACAUAUUUUUACCUCAUAAACUAAAAUAAUGUGAUUAUAAAUAACAACUAAGUCAAUAUAAUGGUUCAUCUUUUUUCAUAUAGAGAAGGUUUUCAAUUAAAAUUUGAAUUACUUUGAAGUUGAGAUAUGGUCACUUAAGUAGCAUGUAUUCUCACUCAAAUGAGCUCAAACUAUUAAUAUAAAUAAUUUGUAAUAGUAUAUCAAAAAUAAUCUUUGAACAAGACGUAUGUAAUUUAGAUUUAUACUCCUAUUCCAAUUUAUGUGAACCUAUUUCCUUUUUGGUCCGUCUAAAAAGAAUGAACCCUUUCUAAAUUUGGAAACAAUUUAGCUUAAAAUUACAAUUCUAAGCUUUUAUAACCACACAAAUACUCCGGCCCCCUUUUGACUUGUUUAGGACCAAAAAUUCCAAAAGUAUUUAUUUUUUGGCCGAGGUAGGGGUAAGGCUCGUCUACAUAUUACCCUCCCCAGACCCCACUUUGUGGGACUAUACUGNNNNNNNNNNNNNNNNNNNNNNNNNNNNNNNNNNNNNNNNNNNNNNNNNNNNNNNNNNNNNNNNNNNNNNNNNNNNNNNNNNNNNNNNNNNNNNNNNNNNNNNNNUAUAUUAUUUCAAGGGUAGUUGUUGUUGUUGUUGUUGCGUGCCCAAUCAAACAGGUUCACAUAAAUUGGAACAGAGGAGGUAUAUUUUAUCUAACUUUUAUAAAAAUAAUUCGGGAUACACGUGCUAUGCACGUGUCCAGAAACUAGUAUAUGUGUGUGUGUAUUGAAAGAGAAUGUGCUUACCUUGACCAUUGUUUCAUGAAUAGCAGGCUUAUCAAGAUAUUCUCUGGCUUUCAAAGCUGCAUAAGGCUGAGGAAGGGGUUGAAAGGAGUGAGCUCCAUCUAAAGAUACGCCAAACUCAAGUAGCAUAUACAAAAGAGCAGCUAGAGUUACCUGUAGAUCUUCGUUAUUUGUAACAAACUGCACAACACGGAACCAAAUGUCAUCACUGACGAAAUCACCAGCCUUGUCAAUCAAUUGAAGGAUGACAUCAACAUACAUGCAUGUCAUCACUGACGAAAUCACCAGCCUUGUCAAUCAAUUGAAGGAUGACAUCAACAUACCUGCAUGGCAAACCACGAGGGACACUCUUAGCUGUUAUCACAUUGUAGAUCCGUAAAGCAAGAUUAGACAGUUUCAGCCACAUUCAUCUAAUUCUGAGUGCUUGAUAGCUACUAAAAGCGCCAGAUUUGGAGUUAAUAUGCAUAAAAGAGAGUAACACAAUCUUUGUAUGAUAUAUUUCUCAUGAUGGUCCCUUUUAUAACACCUGACUGAAUAAAUCCCCUGAACCAGAGUUGGAGUUAAUAUGCACAAAGAGAGCAAGACAAUAUUUGUAUGAUAUAUUUCUCAUGAUGGUCCCUUUUAUAACAAUUGACUGAACAAAUUCUCUGAAAAGGCUUCAACAACCAAACCGAAGAACUUUGAGAAGACAACAUAUUUGAAUUUCAACUUCAAAAGCAGGAGAAACAAUAUUUCAAUAUAUCCUUGAUUCGCAGUGUAGUCAGAAUAUGUAUGCGACAUGUUUUUUCCGGACAAGGAACAUGUAUGCAAUGUUUUUAAACUCCAAAUUCCAUAAGGCAAGCAUAUAUUGCUAAACAGCUCAAGGAAAGUGAAGUUUCAUUAUGUCCAUAUCUAUUUCAUACCAUGACAAAUCAGGAGCAAAUUUCUCUGCAAGAAUUGCAAUUUUGAGUGACAGUUCUUCACGCAUCACAAACUCAGCUGUAUUAAGAUACUGACAAACAAAACAGAUCAGUUGCGUAUUUUUUUACCUCGCCCAAUCAAAACUUUUCCUCUACAUAUUAUAUAAAUUAAAUAACCAUGAAAAGAAAAAUUCAGAAAGUAACAAUGCAGAAUCCUGAUACCUGCAAUAAUUCCUCCACUAUGUCCUUGGCAUUGGAAACAUCACACAUUCCAUAUAGUAAAUCAAGGGCGCGCCUCCUUAUACUGUUUGUAGUGCUUAAUGUCAGUAAAAGAAAGCAAUUUGACAGUUUCAAAGUUGAACUGAGAUAGGCUAAACUUUAAAAAAAUAGACACAAACACACAAGACUAUUACCAACAUAUUGUCCAUCAUUUCACCAGAAAAGAUUAGGAUCUAAAUAAAAAGCAGAGAUACCGAAUGUACUGCCUUGAUGUUAGUAAAUUAAUAAACAAAACUCUCUUUCAGAAGUAACAACGCACAUGCCACAAACAGAAAGUGUUUGAGCUGACAAAUUUGAGCUUUUAAAACUUAGUCGCUGCAGCAGCAUAGUUUACUUAUUGUACCUCUGUUGAAAAACAAAAUCAGGGAAUAGAUGAUGAGGAAAACGGAAAAGCUCCAAAUAACCUGAUAUCAGGAUCCUUCAGUGAGGUAAUAAUCUGGGCUUGAUGUCUUUUUAUGAUGUCCUGUACAUCUGUGACCAUCAACAUCCGAGUCAUAUUUUCCUGCACGGAAUACAGAGAUGUGGAAAUCAGACAGUGGUUUAUACAGGGUAACUGGAUCUUUUUUGCAAGUUCCAACAGUUUGUGAGAACAGCAUAUCAGGAACUACAAGUGUGAAAGUGCAGCUGCUGAAUAUGUGGAAAUCAGACAGUAGUUUACACAGGGUAACUGGAUCUUUUUUGCAAGUUCCAACAGUUUGUGAGGAUAGCAUAUCAGGAACUACAAGUGUGUAAGUGCAGCUGCUGAAAUGAAGACUUCUUACACGCACAACAAUAAGAUACCCCUCUGUCUCUUUUACUUGUCCACUACACUAAAAAAAGAUGUAAAUUUUUACAGUUUGGUAAACCAAGAGAUAAUUUACCACUUUAACUUUAUUAUUAAGUACUACUAAUCAUUUCAAUUCAUUUCCGAACAUUUUGGAUCUAUAAUAAUCAUAGUUAGUUUUCCAAUAGUUAAUAAAUGCAUCAGGCAACGUCCCUCAACUAUCCCAACUAAUCUAUAUUGUAUAAAGGCGUGUUUAAAGCGCGUUUAAGCCCUAAAGCGACGCGCAAAACAUGUUGAACGUCUCGCCUCACCUAGCGGGCGCUUCAAUGUCAUCAUUAAGGCUCUUAGACAUACUUUUUCUUGUCAAUGAGUGCAAUGCUGAAGGGGCGACACUAAACAAUUGAUAUUUCAUCAUAUAUAUAUAUAUAUAUAUAUAUGUAGGGAAAAUCUCACUUUAUACCAAUUGAAUUUAAACUAUUUACCCUUAAAUACCCAUACCUAAACUAUUUAUCUUUCCUACCUAUGCCUUUAAUACUAUUUACCCGCCCACAUUAGAUUUGUUGGAGUGAUUAGCUAUUCGUUUUUAUUUUUUUCUUCCUUUUUAAUAUAGAUUUUUAGUGUCAUCUUUACCUUUUAAUAUAGAGUGGUGGACAUGCGAUAUUUUUUUGUAAUAAGUGCAGUUGUUUUAUACUUGCCUGGUGCUUAUAUUUUGUACUCGUUGAAGGACAAAUUAGUGAUGCAGUUUCAUUAGGAGAUAACAGUGUUGUAAAUAGCGCUCGCUACAGCGCUAAACGCGUGUAGCGAGGCGAGGCGAGGCUAUAGCGCCACACAGGGGGCUGUUGCAUUGCGAGGCAGAAUAGCGUGCGCCUCUGCUUCUGUAUCCUUGAUUCGCAGNNNNNNNNNNNNNNNNNNNNNNNNNNNNNNNNNNNNNNNNNNNNNNNNNNNNNNNNNNNNNNNNNNNNNNNNNNNNNNNNNNNNNNNNNNNNNNNNNNNNNNNNNNNNNNNNNNNNNNNNNNNNNNNNNNNNNNNNNNNNNNNNNNNNNNNNNNNNNNNNNNNNNNNNNNNNNNNNNNNNNNNNNNNNNNNNNNNNNNNNNNNNNNNNNNNNNNNNNCACAUCAAAAAGGCGAGCGCUUCGCUGCGCGCCUCUCGCCUCACUGAAGCGAGCCCUCGUCGCUAUUUGUCGCCGCGCGCUAUCCAAAACACUGGGAGAUAAUUCCAUUUUGUAUUAUUUUUGCGUGUUAGAAUCAAAUCGAUCCAGCACUGCAAGAAUCAAAACGAUCCAGCACUACUCCAUUGGUCUCCAAUUAAAUAUAGCUAAUAUUAUUCUUUGAUGCGUAGAUUGUACCUUUGAUGCUGGUUUUUGGAGAUUUAUUGUACAAAAAUUGUUUUUGGAGAUUUAUUGUACAAAAAUUUAAAUCCACCGUAGACGGACCUUGGAGCUUGAAACUCAUAACUUGGUUUGCUUGAGUUUUUAAUUGUUUUGAUUCGAUCCUGUAUGUGUUAGUUUGGAAAGUUGAUUGGAGGUUGAAGCUAAAGUUUUAGUCAAUUUGGUGGAAAUUUUGUAGUAAAUUUUAGAAAUUUGGGUUGAAAUAUAGUUGAAUCAGAGAAGAAGACGAAUUUAUAUUGUAUACCUAAAUAGUAUACAAAUAUACCAUUUUAGUAUACAAUUCAUUCUAACUAUACCCUAUUAGUAUAGCUAUAUACUAUAUUGGUAUCAUAUGCUAGUUGAAUUAUUUUUUUGGUUGUAUUAGUUGUAUCUAAUUGGUACAAUAUUUGAUUUUCUUUUAAUAAUAGUAAUAUAGUAUAAUAUCUUGAAAUACCNNNNNNNNNNNNNNNNNNNNNNNNNNNNNNNNNNNNNNNNNNNNNNNNNNNNNNNNNNNUCUUGAAAUACCUUAUUAUAUUAAUAUGUGGUACACUAUUUUUUUAUUUUUCUCUUUAUGCAUGUGUGUUAUGUAAUAGUAGUAUAAUCAUAUAGUUACCGGAAAUAAACUAUAAAAACUGUAUAUCAUGUUGGUAUAGUUAUAUGCCAUAUUGGUAUCAUAUUGUAGUUUGAACAUUUUUUGAUUGUUUUAGCUGCAUUUUAAGUGAAUUCUAUUAUGAAAUUAUUUAUAUCAACAUGAGUUGCAAUAAUGCUGGAAUUUUUGUGUGCCGAUGGACAUAAAUUAUGUGUAUUAAUAGUUUUUAUAGCUAUAGACAAUGUUGGAACAGCCCCAUACAACUAUAUACCCUCUUAGUAUAAGAAAUAAACAAGUUGUUUUGCGAAUAUUUAACUUGCGAUACGAGCAUGUAAUUUUCUCAUACUUUUAUUGCAUCCUUUAAUAUUUUGGUAGAGUAGUGUAGUCGCAAAUAGUUGUAGCAAUAUUCUAUAGAAAUCAUAUGCUAUGUUGGUAUACAUAUAUACCAUAUUGGUAUCACAUGGUAGGUACUAGAAGUCUUUUUCGCUACUUAGACUUUUAUUCUAUUUUUUAAUAUUUUAUUAUCAUUUUUAUUCUAACUAGUAUAUAUGGAGAUUUGGUUGACGUUGAUUAUGCUUUCUUACUCUAUAACUGGUUGUAUUACUGCUAAUGGUAGAGUGUGUAUUGAUAUUUAUAGGGAAGGAGAUCAACGUUUGCAUGGCAAUCACGUAUUGAUUCUUAGAAUCUGAUUAUGUAAUUUAUGGUGCUCAACAACAGUCAAUGUGAUAUUUCGUGUAUUAGAUCAAGUGACAACUUAUAUUAUUUCAGUUUAAUAAUUGAAUUUAAAAAAUAAGAAAGAAAAAUAAAAUAAAAGGUAUAUUGUACUAAUUAUAUUUUAAAAAAGGUGAACAAAUAUUUAUUAUAUCAAUUAUUUUCUUAUUGUAUAAAAAAAGAAAAAUAAAAUAUAGUAAAAACGGUAGAUGAAAUUAGAUUAUGAAGAGAAAAAGAAUAUAAAAAAGAAGCUAAAUGAAAUUAUAAAAGGAAAAAAGAAAAAAAAUAAGAAGAAAACGAUAAAAAAGAAACGUAGAAAAGAAAAAAAAAAAGAAAAAGAAGAAGAAAAGAAGCAUAGAAAUAAAAAAGAAUUGGAAAAGAAAAAAUUUCCUACAAAAACUACUAUGGGUAGGAAAUGUAAUAAGUUUAAGGGUAGAAAAACAAAUGGGUAGACAAAGAUAAAUAAUUUUAUUUUUGUGGGUAACUGUGUCAAAAUCCCCAAAAGUUACUUAUGCUGAGAUGGUCUUGGUCAAAAUGGGCUAAAGUUUGGGUCAUAGUCCGACCACCAAACUCUUACCAAGUUUUAAUUAAUGUGUUAUUUUCUUAUGAAUUGUAUAAUUACUAAAUAUACUUUUUUAGUUUGUUAUGGUCAUAUAUAACAUAUCAAACAAAAAUAUUUCUAAAAUACUUUGGCAAAGUUAUGGACUCCACAUACAUAUUUGUAUUUUUUCUUCAUUUGCGUCUUUCUUCAUUAAGGCUCAUGCUUUAUUUGCGUCUAAAGCUCCCAACAGACCGUAAAGCUUUUUUGUGCUUUCCGCCUUUGAUAAUAGCGGCUUCUUGUUAAGCUUAAUAAUUGUAUCAGACAACGUCCCUCCAUUACACUUGCAAAAUUCUUCAGAGUUUGUUGGUGAAUUUAUCUUGUAGCCAUACCUUCGUGAACUCUCUCGGGAACUUUUGCUCCAAUUUUUUUUAUAAGGACCACGUGAAAGUGUUAAAACCAAUAUUCAAUUAUUAGGUUGGAAACUUGAACAAACUGUUAGUUGGUUGCAACUGUUAUGUUUGAUUGAUUUCAAUUAUUUAGAUGAUUUAUUAUAAUUAGGGAUGGUAUAGUAAAAUUAUCACUUUAUUAAUUACUUCAUUAUCACUUUAUUAAUUACUUCUUAGGGGGGCUCGUCCAUGUUUGACUAGGCACAUCCCUUAAGAAGCAAUUAAUAAAAUGAUAAUUCACUCUAUCACCCUAAUUAUAAAUAGCCAUCUAAAUAAUUGAAAUCAAUAAAACAUAAAAGUUGCAGCUAGUGGUGGCAAAAUGGUUAAAAGAAAAUAGUUAUCCACCCAUAUUAUCCAAUAAAAUAUGGGUUGGAUAACGAGAUUUUUAAAAACGGGUUAAAUAUGGAUAAGAACCAUACUAUCCACUUAGAAAAUAGAUAAUUAAUGGAUUUAGCUUUUACAUUUGUAAAUCUUCACAUUGGGGAUUCCAAUUUGGGAGGCUAGGAAUUCUUCCAAAAGUAAUCAUACUCAAGAAGCCGGGGAAUAAUAUGGAUAUAAAUAUUAUUUGUCCGAUUAACCCGUUUUUUAUUUGUAUUAACUACGGGUCGAGUCGGAUAAUUAAUCCAUUUUUUGCAUUACCCUUUUUUGACCCCUCAUAUCCGACCUGACCCGCCCGUUUGCUACCCCUAGUUGCAGCCAACUAAUUGUACGUUCAAGUUUCCAUCCCAAUAAUUAAAUAUUGGUUUUAACACUUUCACGCAUCUCCUAAAAAUAUUGGAGCAAAAAUUUUUACCCUUGUUUCCUCUUAUACAUUUUUAAAAAAAAAUUCCACAGAAAAUAACCCUUUUAAAAAUGUUUCGCUCUGUUGAGAGAGAUCACAAAGGUAUGGCUACAAGACAACAACGACCCAGUGUAAUUCCACUAGUGGAGUUUGGGGAGGAUAGUGUGUACACAGACCUUACCCCUACUCCGAGCGGUAGAGAGGCUAUUUCCGAUGGACCCUCUGGCUCAGAAGACGAAGAGAGACAAUGGCUACAAGACAAAUUCACCAAAAUACUCCAAAGGUAUGCUUCACUCUAAACAAGGGUGAUGGAGGGAUGUUGCCUAAUGCACUAAUUAAGUUUAACAAAAAUCACAAGUACUCCAUACAACAUAUAGAUUAAUUGUGGUUAUGGAUGUGUUUAUUAACUAUUGGAAAUCUAACUUUGACUAUUAUAAAUCCAAAAUGCUGGGAAAUGAAUUGAAAAUGAUUUGUAGUACUUAAUAAUAAGGAUAAAAUAGGUAUGAAAUGGUAAAUUAUCCCUUCGGUUUCCAAACCAGACAAGUAAAAAUGGACAUCUUUUUUUAGUAUUGUGGACAAGUAAAAAUAGACGGAGGGAGUAGUUUGUAUGCGGCUAAAACUUACCAAACCGAGAUAACGAAUAUUUGGCUCACGGACAGCAAUGAAUUUCCCAAGCAGUGCAACACAUUGAGACAUCAUCUCUUUUUCAGCAUCAAGAUGCAUGACCUGCAGCAAAUCAAUUAGAAGUCAAACUUAGUAAGUAUUUCAAGAAAGCAAGGGACAACUUAGAACAGCAGCCAGGCUUUGAAAAUUCAGAUAAUGAUUAGAAGUCAAACUUAGUAAGUAUUUCUCUUUUUCAGCAUCAAGAUGCAUGACCUGCAGCAAAUCAAUUAGAAGUCAAACUUAGUAAGUAUUUCAAGAAAGCAAGGGACAACUUAGAACAGCAGCCAGGCUUCGAAAAUUCAGAUAAUGCAACAAGUCCAUCUUAUGAACCAAAAAAACCAACAGAGAUCUUGUCACGUAACUAUAAAUCCUGAAUUUGUCAGGAAACUGGAAGAAAUAGACGAUGUAUGAGUCUGAAGUUGACAUCAUCACAAAUGUCCAAGAAAAAGAGAACAGCAGCACCACAUAACAGUUUUGAAUAAUAUCACCAGGCUUUCCACUUCAGGAAUAUCAUUAUUCAUAGAGAACUAACUUACUCAAUGUAAGAUGUCACUGCCAUUAGCAUAUGAACAAGAAAUCUUCAUAUAGAGCGCAGAUUUAAAGGGAAAGGAUAAUGGUUGAUGCAUUUAGAAACUUACAAGAGCAAGGGCUUCAAAGAGGACAGCAUGUGAUGCAUUGUUCUUGUUCACAUUUUUCACCACAUCGGUUCCCAUCAAUAUCCUUUGCAAAACCUGAUUGAUUAUAAUGAAUCCAGAACAUUUUUUAGAUUUUCUGCAGAUUCUUUUUGGACAAAUAAAGAUCAAAUAGAAAAGGUGAUAUGCUCUCAGUAAGAUUAUUUCUGUUUAGCAGGCGAGCAUACCUCAAACAGUGAUCUUCUAGUGUUUGGAUCCUCAAUAGUAGGAAAAUACUGAAGAGCCCUCAUAGUCUUUACCUGAAAUGAAAAUCAUCAAAAUUGAGACCAUGCUUACACAGAGAUGCUAGAUUCUGACAUAUUCUUUCACAUUGAUGCAUCAAAUGUGACAUCCUAUCUGUGCACCCAACUCUAUUUCAUGCAUUCAAUUUGCAUAAAUUGAUCACCCAUCCGAGUAAAGCAUAUCAGUAUUUGUAAAGUUCAGAACAUAUUGAGUUUUUUUCUUAAGCAAGUUACAGCUAUUGCAGAGUGCACAGGAAAAGUAAAUAAACCUGAAGCCAGGGAGAUGGGAUCUCAUAGUAGGUAUAUUCUUGUGGUACAUCUUGGCUCCUUGCAAGCCUUUCCAAUACUUUAACACAUUUUGGAAGACAACUCCAAUAUUCUUCGUGGUUAUAUGACACUAAUGCAACUAGAAGGCUCAUGGAAGAUGUCAAGACACCUAAAUCCCGUUCAUCUAGCAGUUGUGCCAUCCGAUCUGACCUGGAUUAUGACGAAAACUCCAAUUGUUGGGACAUAAAUGAAGUCAAUUCAUAAACAUCCACAUAAGUUAUUACACUUACCAGCCAUCUACAUUCAUGACAUCAGGAUUUUUCCUGAAAAGACGUAGGAGACAUAAUGCAGCCUUCUUCCUCACCAGUGGUCUGCAACUGCUUGAUAUCUGAAUCAAAAAAAAAAAGGAAAAAAGAAUAGAAAGCCCACGUCAGUCAUAGACUUGGGAUACUGGCUGGCUACUGCAAAAAUCACUUACAAGUAACUUUUGAACAUCAGGAGCUAGAGAUUCUGCAAAGUCCCUUCCCCCAAUAUUUCCGACCUGUACAGAUAUAUCAAACAGUUGAAACUUGAAACAAACUAACAAAGAACAACGGAGCUGCUUCUAGGAAAAAAAAAAGAAAAGAUCUGAAAUUCGUACCAACGUCAAUGCUAGACACUGGAAAGUCUCAUUGCGGCCAACUAUGUCAUUGCGUACUGUAUUAAUGGCUAAUCUUACAAAAUCAUGAUUCUCAUUGAGCAAACAUGAUGUCACUAUAUACCCAACCUACAAAAUACCCAAAAAUUCAGUUGAACUUUUUAAGCAUUUGCUUCAAGAAAAUUAGACAAAAAACGGAAGGUGCAACACAAGGAAGAGUGGCAUAUGCUAGCUCACCUAUCUAUAUGAAUGCAUGGACAUUACCAAAUAAAACAAGAGAUUGAGAACCCAAAACACUCUCCAAUUUAAUCAAAUGUUAAACCGUGACAAAAACGGUUUUAUGAGAAAUAUCAAACUCUGGAAGGUUCACGAUCAUUAAGAAUAGACCCAACAGAUAUGAGUGUUGCAUUCAACAUGAAUAAAGUCACCAAGAUACUAGUAUAAAAAGUAAGAUGUGACAAAACAAAUUGUGUUUUCCAUACAUUCUCAAUUUACUAGUCAUACACAUCAAUUCAAUCAAAUAGAUGAAAGACUUUUAACUUACCUAAACCAAUUUUGAUGAGUUAUCCAUGUCUAGAAAUGAAAAAGGGAAAAAGAAGGUACCUGCUUCUCAGGAUACUUUGGAGCAGAUAUCAGAGAUACAGCUUCCAUGUGACCAAAGUCCACAUCAUAACCAAGCAUAUAAAUAUACAGCAUUUUCCAGACAUAUUUCUUCUUUUCAUAUGGUGUCAAACCCUGUAUAAUGCAAAAUAUAAUUCAAUAUUCAGGGGCAACAUCUAUGUUAAUUUAACAUACGAUGAGGCAGGUCUAUGGGUGAUGAUUUUAGGAGGAAAAAAAAGAUGAUUUUUUUAUAAGAAGCAAACAUGGGAAAGCAGUGAACAAAUAUGGAAGGAUCUGGUCCCUGAUGACAAAGCAUAGUUUGCAAGACUUAUGGUGAACUGAAUAAAAAGUCAACAGAGAGAACAAGAAAGGGGGAAACAAAGAAAACGAGCGACAGAUAGAAAGAUAAAGAGGGGGGAGAGAGAUAAAGAAAAAAGAAUCUAUAUUCCGAAACUUUUUUAACUGUAGCCUGAAUGCAUUUAAAGUGCAACACAUUCAACUUCUGCGCAGAUGAUACAAUGUUAAUGCAAAUAUUGAAUAUAAAUUGCCCCUAUUACAGAAAAAAAAAUUGAUGCCAAAAAAACAAAUGCACCUAUUUCUGCAACACUUCUACCUCAAGUUCAUUCUUUCUUAAAACAUAGAAAGGCUGCAAACUGCCAAGUAGACAGCACGCAAGAAAUCCAAAAAUGACAUGAGCUACUUUCAUAACCGUCCGAGAAGCUUAGAACACACUAAAGGCUGUUUCAAAGUUCCAUCAAGGAAAUAGUUAUGGCGGUGACAACUAAUGGUUAGAGAGAACUAGCACUGAUGUCACUGAUAGUUGUUAGCAACGGAAGUUGGUAAAGGAUAGAUAACAAGCUAUUAUAGAUGGCUAGACAGGACAGAGAGACUACUCAAUCAUUGAUAUUUCUAUAAGUAAAAUAUUUCAGGAUCAGGAGAAAGACGUUGACACUUCAUUAGCUCCUAUGCAUCUUUGCUAAACGAGUACCUCCCAAUAGUUCUAGGUUCAUUGAAGAAAAAGGCUCAUAUGAACUUGACUUGUUUUGAAAAUCCAUGAAAAGGAGUUCAUGUUUCAUUAGAUUUGUUAAAUAAAGUCUCUCUACAGUCUUUCACAAGAGAAGGUGAUAACUGAUAAGCUCUAGCAAACACGGUCUCCCAGAGAAACUCUUCUCUUGAAUCCAACCAUUACUUGCAUGAGUUGCAGUGAAACCAUUCUUCAUUUAUCUUUGCUUGGUCUCUUUUUUAAUUGUUAUUUAUCUUAGCAUGGUUUUAAUACCAUAUUUCCGGGAAUUAGAACGAAAUUGAUGAUACUCUAUCCUUGUGCAGUUUCUUUUGCAUACUGUCUUUAGAAUGAUUCAGGUCUACCAAUGACUCUGGAUAGUCCAGCUUUUUACAAAUUUCAGGGAUUUCAAGAUUAGAAGGGUGGUGUAUCUGCCAAUUCUGUGUGUAUUUGGAUAGUUUGCCAUAUCAGAAUGUUGAAGAUCAUCACUUAACUUAUGAUAUUGUUUAAGUCAACUUUUCCAAUUUGCAUACAAAGUGGAAACAUUUAUUAGGGAAGCUUCACGCUUGACUACACAAAAUUUAGGACAACAUCAAUAAAACAUCUCUCAAAUAGCAUACUCUCGAUUUCAUCAUAGAAACUUUUAUAUUUUCAUAGAAAAAUGUUUUGUUAGUUUUGAAUAUGAAUGUAGCUGGUAAGAAAGAAAUGAUUGUCAUAUUCAUUUGAGGUACAUAUUCCCCCCUAUGGAGAUGUUUUGGAUAGGAUGGAAAGCAGUGGCCCUAGUCUCUUCUUGCUUGAAAAGGAAUUUUGUUUGCGAUGAUAGUAAUACUAGUUUUAUUUCAUGGUUCACAAUAAAAAAACUCCAGCAAAAUACUGAGACAAAGAAACGAGACAAACAUAGUGAAUUUAGGUGGCCAGUAAGAGGAAGCUUCCAGUAUAUUCUUCAAUUCCUGUUAUUUUGGGGAUGACGGGGUCAGAGAAGACGUCAUUAUAAGGAUUGCAGCCUGGUUAUCAGGUAUUUUAAGGAUAAAAAUAAAAUAAAAAAUUUAAUAACAUCUGUAUCAGGAAUACAUUUUGACAUUUACCCCCAAGGAAAUUGAAUGUUACACUACUUACAAUUGACUGAGUUAAUCAUUAUAAAUAUGUUAAUGUUUUAGCCUUGUUAUAACUGAGCAGCUUAGGGAAGAGCAUCAAGUACCUGUCAGUUCAUAAUGCGUCUAAACUACUAUCAGGUAUUUUAAGGAUAAAAAUAAAAUAAAAAAUUUAAUAACAUCUGUAUCAGGAAUACAUUUUGACAUUUACCCCCAAGGAAAUUGAAUGUUACACUACUUACAAUUGACUGAGUUAAUCAUUAUAAAUAUGUUAAUGUUUUAGCCUUGUUAUAACUGAGCAGCUUAGGGAAGAGCAUCAAGUACCGGUCAGUUCAUAAUGCGUCUAAACUACAAUAAAUAUAAUUUCUGCUCCUCCCUUCUAUAGUAGAUCACUAUAAAAUUCGUGUUAACAUUGAUAGUCUGGAGAAGAAAGACCUUCCUCCCUCUCACCAAAUCCCCUUUUGAACAAGAGAAGAAAUAACUGAGAUUUCACUUUAUCAUCAGCUGCCAUUGAAGGAUAGUCCAACUCCAUUCAAAUGACUCCUUCCCCCUUUCACCUCACCCCACUUAAUAGCAACUUAAGGAAAAUGACAUGGACAAAGCUUCACAAGACAACCAAUUUCUGACCAUUCUACAUCUUUCUUUGUUUAUUGGUCUUCUUAUUUUUAAUAAUUGAGAAAUCUCCGAGGGCCAAUUGACGCAUGGUCGGAAACUCAGUGGAUAAUGGGCUCGCCAUCUACCCUUCCCUACUUAAGUACCAGGUUUUUGUUUGCAGCGGUAAUGCUUGACAUGCAUCUAACACACAUACAUAGCCACACUCUUUUGUUUUUUGAUCUAAUAACUUUCAGGAUAAAAAAUGAAGCAAAGAAACAAAGGCAACCUAUCCUGAAUACUAACAUGCUAAUUGCACCUAACAAGAGCAUCACCUUGCAUCAAAGGGAUUGUAGAAAAAGAAGUUGAUAUAAUCCUGGUUGUAAGGCGUAUAUGCUUCCAAAUUAAUUUUCAGAAUAUCCUAGUAAAAGCUUAAUAUUUCUAAAACCAGUCAUACCAUCAGCAACCACAAAUCAUUUCGAUCGUACUUCAAAACAACUGAGCAUCCCUUUGGAAUACCAUAUUUACCUCAUUUCCAGGUAUUACCUGAUACAACACAUAAAGAAUUCAGAUUUCACAAUAGCUUAUGUAAGAAAGUAUAUCUUUGUCUUACCAGCCUUGGGCAAAGUAAUAGUUCGGGUACACUUCCUUGGGGAGAGCUGCCACAACAUGUUACCGCCAUUUCAAAUGUGAUAUCAGGUACAUAAAUGGAUAUCAGUUAGAUUGGCAUAGCCAAAAGGUCCUCCUCCCUUCAGCACUCUAGGUGUGAGUUGCACUAACUGCCACUAAGUGCUUUUUUACGGGCUUAAUUUUUGGUAUACACCAUCGACAACUUGCUGUUUUAUUUACUACUAUUCAACUUAUGACCAAGUGAAAACCCCUUAUUUGACAUAUCCCCCAACAGUAGCUAACAGACCUUUAAAUAUAUGCCACCUUCAAACUGCUAUCUCUCUUUUAGAAACCAGACCCCACAUUGUUUGUCUAAAAACGUACUUCCAUCCCAAUUUAUGACAUUCUUUCCUUUUCGAAAUGUCACAAAUGUUUGACACUAUAUCUUUUUAUUGCUAAUUUGACACUGUCAGUAAACUAUUCAAAUAUUAAACUUUGAUUUUAUGUUUUCUCUAUUGAAUAAACUAAUCAACCAUUAUUUUAGUAUUCCAUUCUACUAUCACUAAUAAAUCUAUAUGUCAAAUUAAUAUCUUAAACUCUAUACUCAGCUAAAUACAUCACAUAAAAUGAACCAAGAGAGUAGCAUAAGCAUCUAACUUUUUUCUCUUUUAUUGCGUGCAAAUCUAUCUUCUUGUGUCAAGGGUCUAUCAGAAACGGCCUCUGUACUCUUCCGGAAAAGGAAUAAGCUCUGCGUACACACUACCCUACCCAGACCCCACUUGUGUGAUUUCACUAGGUGGUUGUUGUUGUUUGGGUGCAAAUCUAAUUGGUUUCCAAACUGAGUUACCCUAUCAGUUUCUCACAAUAUAUUAAACUAUGUGGUUAAACAUCCUUUCAAUGACAAGAAUCUGUUUAAUUACGGCAAGUUACUCUUUUUUUCCUUAUAGCCAACUUGCAUACAACUCCACUAAUUAUACAUGUGGAAAGAAAUAACCUAGUGCUUACUUAACUAACAGUUAAAACCAUCACUAUAGCACGUCCAACAUAACCCUAGCAUAAUGCAGAAAAAGCAGGAACUCAAUUACUCUUCACUGACGUAAAAUUCAAGGUUGAAAUUUUGCAUUUCCUAAUAAACCAUAUCACAGACAUUAGCUAACAGAGUUGUAAUUGCAAAAAAAAGUGAAAACCUUUUCGUUUUUAAAGCGAGUACGAAUAUUGCCGAGCUCUUUAUCGACACGAAGACGUUCCUGUUCUUUGUUCUGGCAAUUACGAAUGUCGCUUAUGAACACCGACAAUCCUCUCAUUCCAGAUAACGCCAUUUCCGUUCAGAUCCAGCCGAUAAGGUCCUUUCACUCUGUCGUUUCCUUUGAUCCGACGGUCCACAAAGAAAGAUCGAGGUUCAGAUCACGAACGGUAUUGGCGGCUCUAGAGGUCUGCUCACUCCCUCAUUUUCUUUGAUCCGACGAAGAAAGAUCGAGGUUCAGAUUACGAACGGUAAUGGCGGCUCUACGUGUUUUGCGCACGAAAUGUAUAGAUAUAUAGAUGUGUAUCAGUGUAUGUAUAUGGAGAGA